GCAACCCAAAAUAAAUAUAUACAGAAAUCCCUUCCAGAACUUGGAAGUCACUAGUACAGAGCUAUCUAAUAAAGAGUACAAGUCCCAAAAAUGGACCACAACAGAGCGUGUCUCAAAGGCAACAAGACUAGCUAAAAACAAAAGAAGGAGACAGAACAAACCCAAAACGCCAAGUGCUCGCCCUCGUCUCCGAAUCACAGCUGCAAAAGAAGGCUGGAAUAAUCAUCGUUGGUAACCGGUACUGGGACCUGCAUCACGAAAUAGAUGCAGAGCGUAGCAUGAGUACCAACACAACAGGUACUCAGUAGGCAUCAUAGGCCGACUGAGCAAAAAUGGGUAAAAAUAAUAAGAAAUGAUAGAAUCUAGACACAGAGAGGUCAAAGUGGAUAUGAAAAGAAAGCACACGAGCAUACCAGAAACAAACUAAGUACACUAAACUAAACCUAACUGGAUCCCAUAUGCCCAGAAUGUACACUCGUGCGCAAGCUCAAACAAAACCUGAACGGACCCCCAUAAGCCCGACAGGUACACAAAAAANNNNNNNNNNNNNNNNNNNNNNNNNNNNNNNNNNNNNNNNNNNNNNNNNNNNNNNNNNNNNNNNNNNNNNNNNNNNNNNNNNNNNNNNNNNNNNNNNNNNNNNNNNNCUAGAAAGAGCGAACAGCAUACUCCCAGCCAACAGCACACUCCCAGCCCAGCUAGAAAGAGAGCCGGGGCGAUCGCCGAUAUCACCGAGUCUACCCAGCCAGCGAUACGUUCCCAGCCCAACUAGAAAGAAUGACCUCGGAGGUGAUGGUAUCUCCAAUAGGAUCCAAUCCAACAACAACCACCGUGGAACGCCGUCCACUCUAAGAAAUCACAGAAAAGGCUCCAAGUCUAUACUAUCUCAAUCCCACGCCUCUAGUGAUGCACCAAACCUUCGAGAAUGCGUCGGAACCGCAGAAUGAGAGGGAGAAGAUACAAAAGUGCAGCAAGCAGCGAUAACGCCUAAUCUGAGACUCAAACUAUCAGACUCAAGUCUGCUAUUCUAGUCUACAAGGAGCUAAGUCAUCCGAACGACGUCGGCAGAAAGUCAAGGCUAUCCAGCCCACACGGUUCAUAAGUCUAAGGCAAUGCUAGCCUAACCUAGACUAAGGACAUCAUGCUUACGGUUAAGGAUGAACAAGGCAUACAAUACAUAGCAUACAAGCAUACAAUAGCAUUUAGCACAUAAGCAUGCAACUCUACUAAAUCGGUUAACAUGAUACUAUACCCGAAAUAUGGCCAAUCGAUCCUAACAUGAGGUAUCUAAUCAAAGUAAGGUAGUAAACUGGUACCACCCCAAUUCACUCCAAUCGACAAUGUUUUUACACAAUUAAGCUCAAUCUAAAGAAGAAGCUGCAGCCUACCUUAAGGCCGAUCGUGCGCUCUCCAAAUCACUUUACCGGAGUUUUCCCUAUCCAAACGACCUCGAAACGCUGUCUCGCUAUCAAAAAUAGAGUCACAACGUUAUUACGAUCGUUUAGACACCAAAAUCACAACAAACGGAGACGGGUCAAUUUUGGAGUCAAAACGAGAAUCAUGGGACCCGCACCGAACUGUCCGAAUUUGACUCCUUCAAGAGACCCUAAACGGCACCCCAAACUUAUGUUCCAAAAUGGAACACAAUUCGAGGCUCAAAACAUAGCAAAAACCAACAAGCAAGAAACCACACUUUAAUCAACUAAAAGAAAACCUACAGCAGCAGUCUAAACUCGGAAUAAACGAGAAUCAAAAGGUUCCCAGCACUCUUUGAACACUCUACGAUGAAGCCUCGAUAAUUCUCAGCACGUGGGACUACGAAUCACCCAAAACCGAGCUAAAAUGAAAGAGAUAUGACCAAAACAAGAAUGCCAAAAACAAAGGCUCAAAAAAGGAACUGCAGUCAGGUUAAUCACGAAAUUACCUCGAACUUUGCAUACCCAACAAUUUCCGAGAACUCUACAGAGAAGCCACCGAAAAUACGAAGCUCCCGCACUUUGAAUCACCUAAUUCGGAUAAAAGAUGAGAAAGUUAUGAGAGUUUGAAGGUUUGGAAAAUGUUGCUUAUUUUCUGCAUUUAUAGCAGAUUUUCUGCAAUAUUUCCAAAACUUAAAAACUUCGACGGGGUGCUCCGAACUUGUUAAACACAGAAAUGACCAAGAGGGUCAUUACACUAGGUCAAUACAAAAAUCAAUAUCCCUAUCUAGUGUCAUACUAGGCAGGUCUCCAGGAAAGCAUCAACAAACUCACGAACUAUCAAAACAGACUCGAUUGAAGGCACUUUGGAAGUAUCAUCCCUGAGAUGUGCCAAGAAAGCUGAACAACCCUUACUCACCAACCUCUUAGCACGAAAAAAAGAGAUAAUACGAACUGGGUCAGGAAUAUAGUCACCCUUCCAUACUAGCGGAUCUAUCCCAGGCUUGGCCAAAGUCACAGUCUUAGCAUUACAAUCUAAGAUAGAAAAAUUUGGAGAAAGCCAAGUCAUACCCAGAAUUACAUCAAAUUCAACCAUCUAUAGAAUAAUCAAAUCUACAUAAGUUUUGAUCCCCACAAAAGUUACAAGGCAAGACCUAUACACCUUCUCAACUAACACAGACUCACCAACAGGAGUAGAGACACGAAUAGACAUGUCAAGCAAGUCAAAAUGCAAAUCAAGUCCAUUAGAUAAUAAGUAAGUUACAUAAAAAAAAUGUGGAUCCAGGAUCAAAUAAUACAAAAGCCAUGCGAUCACAGACCAGAAGAGUACCUAUGAUAAAAGCAUCAGAUGCCUCUGCCUUUGGUCUCCUGGGAAAGCAUAACAAUGGGCUUUAUCACCUGUCUGUUCAUUGCCCCUACUGAGAUGCGCUCCAAUAGUUCCAAUCUGCCCUCCACUUCAGCCAAACUGGUGACCACCAUUACCUUGGCCACCACGUCCUCUAGAAUGACGACCCCUACCAUGAUCACCCAUUUUUCUAAUUGCUGGAGAUCUGUAAUUUCUUGAUAUGCCCAGCCUCACCACAUCCGUAGCAAGUCUUGGAGUCGAGAGUAGGUCUCUGUGAAGACAAAGAAGACUGAAGAUAACCCCCAAACUCAGAAAAAGGCUGACUAGUCGUUGACGGACCCUCAGCUGAAACCUGCAAUGAAAACUGAAUAGGAUGGGGUGGAUAACCCCUAGAACUCUGCCAUCUGGAGUAAGAACCACUAAACGCACCUCCCUUACGGAACUUCUUAAACAUUGACACCUUGGUGAAGUCAUCUGGCUUCACCCCCUUUACCUCUAUCACAAAAUCAACCACUUCCUAAAUAGAUUUUACAGGAGCAGCUACCUGUAAAGCUGGAAUCUGCAAAUCUGAUCUCAGUCCCUUCACAAAGCGGCUAAUCCGCUCUUGCGGACUGAAGCAAAGCCGAGUGGAAUACCUGGAUAAUGCACGAAAUUUGGCCUCAUAGGCUGCAACCGACAUUUUUCCUUGCUCUAUGUUUAUGAACUCAUCUCUCCUCAUGUCCCUCAAAGUCCUGGUUAUAUACUUCUCCAUGAAGAAGCUAGAGAAUGCUGCCCAAGUCAUAGGUGGUGCCUUUGCUUGUCAUGACCCGAGUCUACACCCCCGGAAGCGACACGGCGUACUCGACUCCGAUGGGGUCUUAUACAAGCAUCAAAACAUUCAUAACAUAAGAUACUUAGAAAUAGUGCGGAAUUUAAAAACUUUUCUUUAUAAAUCCAACAAUCGAAAACAUUAAUAGCAAGCGGAAGUUUAUCGUCUCACAUGGCCAUCUAAAUAACAUACUUGAAACAAAAUAGGGUCACGACCCUUUACAAUUGAACUCUUAACAAUAGUCUAUUACAUGAAAAGAAAGGAAACAUCAACUACUUGUCCUCGAUCUAUGAGGACAUACCACUUGGUCUUGGGGAACUCAAAUCCAAGCUUCACUAGAGAAAACCACUCAAUUGCCGGAACCUACACUUGUAGUAAACAUAGAAGAAUGGGUUGGCACAAUUAAGUACCAAGUAUGAUAGCCAUGCAAAAACAUGCUUAAAACGAACAUUUUAUUUGAAAGUCAUGAUAUAUGCCAUUUUGAUAAAACCUUCAUAAACAUAAGCAUAAGAGGCAUAAUAUAAGACAUAACCAACAUACAAGUCAUUUAACCAUAUUAGAAACAUAAUCAACAUAUAACCCAUUACCUUCACAUUAAGCCUUCACCUCAAGUAGCCCUCAAGCUAUACUUUGUGCAAUGUAUGAAUAGAGUUCCAUACCACUAUCCACACCAAGUACCACCUUAAGGUCACCAAAAGUGAACUUACCAUUCAACCUUAGCAUCCUUACACAAUACUCAUACAUAAGAGGCAUAAACCUUUCAUAAAUCAUAUCAUCACAUAAGGACCAUCACCUAAGAAAAUCCUAAGUCAUACUUGUGCAAUGUGCAAGUAGCAUCCCAUACUACUACUCACACUAAGUACUCCUUGAAGUCACCAUAGGCAAGGCACAUUAAUAUACAAUAAGUCAUGACAAGGAAGUAACUCAUAAUACAAUCCAUGUAUAGGAUGCAUCAUCUAAUUUAAGCAUAAGUCUCAAUCUUCAUUACAUUAAGAGCACCUUCAUUCAUUAGACAUUAGAUCAACAUUCUCAUUAACAUCAUCAUAAGAGCACAUUCAUUACACUUAACAUUAUAAAGGAACACACCACGACCUCUUUCAAAGCCUACUUGUGCAAUGCAUAGAUGUUGUCCCAUACCACCACCCACACUAAGUAGUGCAUCCUUAAGAAGCCAUAGUUCAUUAACAUUCUUUGUGGGGGGUUAAGCCUUAACCGACAUAAACCAUGUGAGCAAUUCAUGGAAUCCCGGUGUCACCCUCACCGGAUAAGGAAUUCCUACUUGCCUAAGGUAGGACCAUUGCUUUUAGCUUAAGUGAAUCCACUAGCUAGACCUAUGUGGGCACAUAGUUAUGGGAUAGGGAGAUUGCUACUAGAUACCCCACCUCAACUCACGGAUGAGCAUCCAUCUCAAGAGGUUGCUACUAGAUACCCUGCCUCAACUCACGGAUGAGCAUCCACCCCAAUUCAUAUCCACUCGGUGCUUAGCAUUAUUCCCUACGGAUUACUUAACAUUCAUUAUUAUGGGAUAAGAGAUUGUUGCUAGAUACCUCGCCUCAACUCAUGGAUGAGUAUCCAUCUCAAACCCAACAUUCAUUCAUUGGAAAACUUAUUGAUUCAAAUAUGAGAAUAGCCUUUCACCUAAGAAUCUCAUAUUGUGAGAAAGUCCUUUCACAACAUGUCAUUAUCAUUCAUUGGAGUACAAUUGAGAAUAGCCUUUCAAUAAGUACUUCAUCAUUAACAUAAUCAUAGAACUUCAUUCAUUAUUCAUUCAUUAGUGUGUAUGUGAGAAUAACCUUUCACAUAUAGCCUCAUCAUUCAUAAGUGUUAAUAGAGAGAUAACAUUCAAUCAUAACACAAUUACCUUCUAAACAUGAUCAUAAUUCAUUCACUUAGAUCACACACACAUACUUCACAUCAUAAUCAUACAUAAUCCUUCAUGAAAUUGCCCCUUAGGGCUAUGAACCAACAUCAAUCCAUAAAUCCAAGAUACUACAAUAUAAUAGGAAAUUGACAUGAUUAAAUCACUUAAUUCAAUGUAAACAUCAACAAUUCAACAUACUUGCAUAAUCAAUCAACUCCCAAUUACAAAUCACAAUUUAGGAAAUUGGGGGAAAACAUGGGUUCUAGGAAGAAAUCAUCUUAAUUCAUCUUUAAAUCCAAAAUUCAUUCAUAAUUCAAUGCAAUAAUUCCUUUAGAAAUCGUUUUGAAUCGAACCCAUGCAUAGAUUUAAAACUAGGAUUUUGGGGUAAACUUUGAAGACUUGAAAUAAAAAAAUGGCUCCUUGAAAGAAACUAAGUCAAGGAUGAAGACCAUACCAUUAUGGAAGAAUCUCAUGAAAAUUCCUUGAAAAACUCGAAGUCUUGACCUUGGAAGCUUGAAGUCUUCACCUCCAAUGGAGGUUUCUAGAGAGAGAACUUUUGGAGGAGAGGGGAGGUUAGUAUUUUGGGUUAAGAAAUAAUGAAAUCUAAAAUAUGUUUUAAUACUUUAAAAACCCUUAAAAUACCAUAAAUGACUAAUUAAAACCGUCCCCAACCAAACUAGACUUAACAUGAAUUUACCAAACCACCCCCACAUUGGCCGCACCUUGAUAGCUUUUGCAGGGGUGAAUCACGACCACUAAACCACAGACCGUGGUCUGGAUCACGCCCCAUCCUGGUCAAGCGUGGUUUGGGGCUGUGGUUUGGACAAGAGGGACUUGACCCACGGAGGCAGUCCACGGGGCGUGGAUGGUCCUACGGGGCCUGGUCCCUUUCUGCUGUUCACUAAAUUUUGGGUAACCUUUUUGGUUUCAAGGGGUCUUAGGGGUUAGGCUUAGGGUCCUCCUCAAGGACCCCUAGGUUGGUCCUUGGGGAGUCAUACCUUGACGUUUAACCCCUAAACCCCUCAACCUAAGCUCGGCACAACAUUAUACCACCCUUAAACCUCACAACAACUCCAAGACACACUAGUUAGGCUCUAGUUUCACUUAUUCAUUUUACGAGUUAUUACAUUGCUGGCCGACACUCAACAUGAGACCGCCACCACAUUUUGGCAUCCCCCUGAAACUGGUAUGUCACAAACUCAACACCGAAUCGCUUCACUAUGUCCAUCUUAUGUAGCAGCUCAUCACAAUCAACAAGGAAAUCAUAAGCAUCUUCAGAUUCAGUACCCUUGAAGACCGGAGGUUUCAACUUUAAGAACUUAAUAAAGGGAUCAUGCUGGUCACUAGUCAUUAUAGACCAUGUAGUCAAUCGGGGAAACAUGCCUAUUUCCAAGGACACAUACAUGUGGGGAGCCACAAUAGCUGCAUGUUGUACUCCUUGAACCUGAGUUGUUGGUGCAAAAAACGCUGGGGGUGCCUGGCCCUGAUCAGAUAACCCACUGAGAUAAGUGAGAACCUGAUUGAUCAUCUCUGGAGUAGGCAUGAGUGGUGCUUCCUUCUCAUUAAUCUUCCCAUCCUCCCCCUCAUCACCCUCUUUUGCUACCUUCUCAGCUGGUGGAGGGGGCACUGCUCUAUCUCUAGUUGGACUAGUUGCUUGUCCUCUGCCUCUAGUGGGCUUUCUCCCGCGACCUCUACCACGAUCUCUCGCCACUGCUCCCCCUCGGGGUACAACCCCAAUGGUUGGCUCAGGUGCACUAUGACUUGCUGGUGUUGGUGUUGCCACAACUAUUGCUCUAGUUCUGACCAUCUGCGAAACAGAGUGAAGAAGGUCAAAUACCAAUUUGUAUCACCUAGAUACCAAUUGGAUUCAACUAAUAGCAGGGAAGAAAGAAAGAAAUGAGUUUUUCUAAAGUCCUAGAGCCUCUCGAAGAAAAGUAAAGACGUCCCUGUAUUGUUCUGUAAAACUCUACUAGACUUGUCCUUAUGUGAUGAGAUCACCGAACCUAAAGCUCUAAUACCAAGUUUUUCAUGACCCAAAAUGAGUCAUGAUUGGCACCCACACUUAACCUCCUAGGUGGGCAAUCCAAUUUAUCCAACCCAACUUAUAUCAAUUGUUCAACUAUGGAUAACAACCAUAAUGCGGAAGCUCAAACUUAUUAAAGUAACUAAUAAAAUAAACCUCUAAAGUCUAGUACAUAUUAUCUCCAAAACCUGAAAGUCAUCACAUCAAGAAAAUCUAUUCUCAAAAUACCAAGUCUAAGAGUAUUAAAUAAAUCAAAAUAAAUAAGUAGAAUAGUUUAUGUCCGAAAUCCAUCAUGCCAUGACUGAGAGGAUCCAACACGAGCUGAAAGGAAAAGCUCACCCUGAAAUCGAAUAAACUGGAGACUGGCAAGAACUGAGGGCGAGUCGAUGGUAUACUCUCUCACUCCACAAAAAUAAAACGAAGAAAACACAAGUAGGGGUCGUACAAGACAACAUGUACUGAGCAUGUAUCAUCGGCCAACUCAAAAUGAAAACUAAUAUUCAGUAAGUAAUAGUGUAAAAUCUAUUAUGGCACCUAGCAGGUGGCAAGCAACAACCAACAUAAACAAUUGAUAACAACACCAAAGUAAGUAUGUAAUCAGUCAACAAUAUCAAGAACACACAUGAGAACUCAUGUGUCCACACCAAGCUCUUUUGGGAAUAGGGUUCUUUAAGACUGGGUAUAUUAAGUUGUUUAACAUGUUUUCCUUUAAUUUUACCAUGUCAGAACGUGACACUCGAUCCAAUAAUAUUGUGCUGGCUCGUGGCACCCAAUCUAAAUAUAUCAUGUCGGAACGGGACAACUGAUGCAAUCUAUAUUGCCUCAAGACCUUUGACUCAUAGACAAGCUUGGGAACUCCAAUGGAUUGAAGAGUUGUUCCCAAGGAUGGAGGCUCUUGGGGUUGUAUUAGUGUCAAAAAAGGUUCACAUGCGUGGAAGAUCGCUUGGGCGAACGAAGGGAGGACAGUUGACAACACUGCUCUUUGGCGAACAUAAGAUUAGUUGGCGCAUCGCCCAAUGACUUGGGUGAUGGCCCCCAGACCUCAUAAUGUUCUAGAACGUGCCAGGAGCAGGAUCCAUGCAGGAAACAUCACCAACCCAAUGGGCGAGUCGCCAAGUGUAUUGGGCGAUCUCGACUUAGCUCGCCCAUUGGUCAUUUCGGGCCUUUUGUGUAGUAAUGUCCUAAAACUAUAAAUAGGCAGUUUAGAAUCAUUUUAGAGUUAGAUUAUUUAUAGUAUUGAAAACUGAAAACUCAUGUUAAGUGUUGAGAGCUUGGUUAAGCUUGUGUUGACUAUUGUUUAGAAACGUCGGUUGCUUGGGAGUUCAAUGCCCCUGAGGUCGUCGUAAGAGUUAGGUUCCAUUGUAGGAUUAACAGAUUGAGGUCAUUGGGUUUAAUAUACCCUUUGGUUGCUUUUUGUUUCCUCUUUGUGUGUCUAUCUAGUUAUCUUUACUUUUCGUAUUUCAAUUUCCGCAUUUAAUUGUGAUUCCCUUUUAGGAAUUACAUCAUUUGAAUCCUACAAUAGCACCUAACUCUUUUGACGACCUCAAGGGCAUUGAACUCCCAAGAAACGACAUUUCUAAACAAUAGUCAACACAAGAUUAACCAAGCUCUCAACACUAAUAUGAGUUUUCAGUUUUCAAUAUUCAAAAUAAUUUAACUCUAAAAUGACCCUAAACUGCCUAUUUAUAGUUUUAGGACAUUAUUACACAAAAAGGCCCAAAGUGUCUCGAAAUGACCAAUGGGAGAGCUAAGUCGGGCUCACCCAAUCUACUUGGCGACUCGCCCAUUGGGUUGGCGAUGGUUCCUGCAUGGAUCCUGCUCUUGGCACGUUCUGGAACAUUAGGUAGUCUGGGGGCCAUUUCCCAAGUCAUUGGGCGAUGCGCCAACUGAUCUUCUUCUCGCCAAAGGGCAGUGUUGUCAAAUGUCCUUCCUUCGUGCGCCCAAGCGAUCUUCAACGCAUGUGAAACUUUGUUUGCCACCAAUACAAGACAAAGAGCCUCCAUCCUUGGGAAGAACUCUUCAAUCCAUUGGAGUUCCCAAGCUUGUCUAUGAGUCAAAGGUCUUGAGGCAAUCUGGAUUGCAUAUUCUCCCCUUCUUGAAAAGGAUUUGUCCUCGAAUCCAAACCUUGCAAAACCAUAGGGAAAGCAAACAAUAACAAGAUCCUCAUGGCAUGAGGGUUAGCAUUAGCAAUAACUAUUUCAUCACCAUGCCAAGGAUGCACAAAUUUAACAUAUAACCAAGAAUGAAGAUGAUCAACAAAGGGUUUGUAACCCAUCAAAGCAAGAUAUACUUGGUUACUUAAGAAACUUUGACAAAGGGGUAGAGAGAAAGAACUAAUACAAUUAAGCAACCACACAUGUAAACCCACAUUGGUUCCACAUUCCAACGAGCACAAUUCCCCCUUUAAGUCAAGUAACACAUGAACACUCUUAUACCUAAGUGCAAAGGCAUAAGUAAUGUUGACCUAAAUUAAGAAUCCAUCCAAUGCACUUAAUAUCUUCAAGAAAGUAAUUAUUCCCAAUUCAUGAGCGGGUUCAAGUGCACAAGUAUUCCCCACCCAAAUUGGAAAACAUACCUCAUUCAAGCACACAGGAUCAAGUAAUAACACCAAGUAAGAAACAUAUGAAUGACAUACGGUGUUACUACCAUAUUCAGCACACUUAAAACCAGCAUCGGGGUCAAAUGGAAAAGGAUUGCAUAGCAUUGAGUCAAGGAGACUCUAAUUUGCCAUAUUGAUACCACUACUAACAUAACAUAUGCUACCCACAAAAGCAUGAGUAUCAUUAUAUGCAAGUAGAUACAAUUGAGUCCUCGAAUCCAAACCUUGUAAAACCUUAUAGAUCACCAGCAAGAAGCAUAUCCUCAUAACAUGAUGGUUAGUAGAGAGGUUAACACUAAAAACAUUGAACUGAGGUGAUUCAAACUCAAGGAACAACCAAACAUCCUCUAUUAUCAUGGCUAUUAAGCCCAUAGAUGAAGAACAAGGAAGUUGGUUAUUCUUCACAUCAACAGGAUAACAACACCAACAAGGUGAUACUUUUAUGAAUUCAAAUACUCUCAAACAUUUCACCGGGAUCAAUAUGAUAAAAGCUCCACAUAACUGGAUCAUACAAACAAGUAUAGACCUCAAUGAUAUCCCGAUCCACAUGCAAGGCACCUUUAAUACAACCAGUGGAUUCAUCAUAUGCAAAGAGAUAGUAGAGGAAGAUAUAAGCUUCACCUUCUCUUGGCAAAUGGCUCUUACCCCCAUACGAUGCAUAAACAACAAGAUCAAAUUCAAAGCAAGGGUAAAGAAAAAAACUAUCCCUCCCCAUGCACAAUGUAGUCCCUUCAAGUGGAUGGUAAAACCUCAAGAAUAGUUUUUCUUCAUAGGGAAAGACAUCAACAAUUUCACCCACAUUAUGCCUGCCAUUUUGACCAAGCAUCCCCACACAAAUACCACAAUUCAACUCACUAUCGGGGUCAAAUGGAAAGGAAAUCCAUGAAUUUGGAUCAAGUGCACUUCAUUUUAUCAGAUUGGCACCCUUACCUUCCCAAAACAUACUCCACUCAACAGUGUGAGCAUCAUGAUAUGUAAACAAGUAAACGAGAAAGGUAUUACCUAAAUACACUUCAGUCAAGGGGUUCCCAACUUUAGCCUCCACUCUAGAUGCUAGAGGAUCACAACUCACACGAAGCACUGGAACACACAAUGAAGAAGUAACAGUUAAAACAUAGGCAUCCCUUUUCAUCUUAAUACUACCCUUCCCAAUAAAUGUACUAUCAUCUUCACAGAAGAUAUUUCCAUCUUGAGGAAGUGUGUCAUUGAACCACAGUGGAUUCUUAAACAAUUUAACAACAUUUGUGAGAGUUCCACCUUUGGAAAUUGGGUCAUCACACCAUAGCAGAUUCUCAAACGAUUUAACAACAUUUUCAUCAUACAAGAAUGUCACAUUGGAAGCAUCAUCCCAAUUAUGACAGAGAGUGAGAUGAGCCAUUUUUGAAAACACACUAUAACUAUUGAACCCAUCAAUCAUAUCAUCUAGUCUAGGGAUAAGAUGACAAUACCUUAAGAUGAUCUUUUUGAUGGCCCACCAAUCAACACACAUGCGCCAUGAUCCACCUUUCUUUGGAACCAAUUGAACCGGAACAACGCACAUACUUGUACUUUUCUUCACAUAGCCCUUGUUGAGGGGUUCCUCAACUUACCUUUGUAGCUCUUCACUUUCUCCCGGAUUACUUCGAUAAGCUAGUUUGGUUGGCCAAUGUGAGCCCGACACGAAGUCAAUUUGGUUCUCAAUACCCCUGAGAGGGGGCACUUCACUUGGUAGUCCCAUUAAAAGGGAUUCAUUAGAAUCCUGCAAACGAAAGGAAAUAGAAUGGGGAGGGGAAGAAUUAGAAAGGUUAGCUUGAAACACAUGAUACCUAGGUGUGAUAGGAAUCAAUGAGCUUUGGGACUCCACGUCCUCCCUUAUCUCUCCAUGCUCAACUAACAAUAUUUGUGAUUUUUCUUUUCAACUUCCUCAUUUCUUCCUCCUUUUGGCCUUCGAUCUCCAUAUGCCCCUCCUCCUUCUUCCUUUUAUUCCUCAACUCAUCCAUCUUUUGAUACAUUUCCAUGACUUGAGAUAGUGAUAUAGGAUGAAGGACAUAUUUAUGUCCAUUCGACACAAGUGAAUUGGUGUUGAUUCUCCCAUCAUGUUUUGUCGAACGAACAUGUUGCCAAGGUCUUUCGAGUAGUACAUGACAAGAUUGCAUUGGGAUCACAUCACAUAGGACCACAUCUUGGUAUUUCCCAAUUCGAAACUUGAUCAACACUUGUCUGUCAACUCUCAGUUCUUCACACUCAUUCAGCCAUUGAAGUUCGUAAGGCUUAGCAAGCUUAGUGGUAGGAAGCCUCAAGAAAUCCACUGGAGCGGUGCUAGCAACAUUUGCACAACUUCCACUGUCAAUGAUCAAAGAACAUACAUUACCCUGGAUGAGGCACUUAGAGUGGAAAGUAUUCUCUCUUUGACUUUGGUUACUCAUGGACUUGCUAGUCAUAGUUCGCCUUACAACAUACGUUGGUAGGGCGAACUCUCCUUCUUUGGGCCAAGACUCAUCCUCCACAGUGUUCCUUCCAUAUUCCAUCAUGGACAGACCUUCUUGCCAAUCAAUCAUAAUUCUGGGUGUGAUUGUAGGAGAAAUAGUGUGGUCGUGCCCACUUGUGGAAACACGAAAAGUAGCUUUGGGUGUGGAGUUGGUAUAGUUGACUCGACCUUCCACUUUGUUUAUUAUCUCAUCUAUUCUCGACGUACUACCCUUCAUGGUGGUCAAGUGACCUUUUAUGUUCUCCAUUGUCUGAUUCACAUUAGUAAGCGCCCUCAUAAUAGAUUCCAAGGUAACCUUCCCCUUAGGUGGGCGAGUUUCAUUCCUGGUUGCCAUGGUACCUAACAAUUAAGACAACUCAGCAAAACAGGAAACAACGUUAGUGUUAGUAAAAUGAACUCACAAUCACUCGUGUUUACACACUUUUGAUUGCCUCUCAAUUUGGUGCGACUAAUGUUGAAGAUUGUUUAUACUCGGUUGAUCACAAGGUAUCAAUUUCUACUCUUAGCUGGAAUGGAUUCUUGUUUUAAAGAAAAGACGGACGACUCGAUUAAAGAAAAAUGGACUUGAAUCAAGAAGUUAACUACGAAGUAAAACGAAUAAAAGCAUGAAAAGAAAAGGCACUAACAAAGAAGUGAAUUCAGGAACCAAUAGUCAACAACUAGAGCAAUUACAAGUUGAAAAUCAGUUUAGGAAUCUUGAGAACGAUUGAGAAUCAAAAUAAAAGAAACUAAGAAUUAGAACCUAAGAUUAGGAGCGUAAAAUGUGUUUUCGAUCGCCAAAUGACCUGUUUUUUUGGCCAAAAGUGAAGUUCAGCUCGCCAACUUGAAGAUGGGGACACCAAACUUUGCAAUCUUCCAAGUAAACUUAGCGAUGUGGACGGAAGUUCGGCGGUGCGCCGACUGGACUUGGCGAGCCAAGUUAGCUCGCCCAAAGGUCCAGUGUUUGAGGGCCAACUCGGCGACCAAUCUGCCCAAAGGGCGAGGUGUCGAAUGGGCUAUGCGAGCAAAGUUGAGCUUGCCUAAUGCUCCAGCCCCUGCUCCUAAAGAACUCCGAAUUUGGACUCCUGUGGUCCCCCUUGCACUUUUUCACUUAGUAUUUACCCAUUUUUGGUAAAUUCCCUCUUUUACAAACACUUAUCGACUUUCUCUUUUUUCUCUUUUGGAAUCAAACUCCUUCUUUUUGAAUCUUCUUCCCUUUGAAGAUUUGGGUGUUCUUCAAGAACUUCAAGAACAAGAUGAAGAUCCAAAAAUUAAACCUUAAGAUUUUUAGCUCGGAGUUUCACGAAAAUUGAGAUACAAGCUCUCCUUGGUAUAGGGAACAACACCCAAUACCUUUUAACUCUCAAUUCCUUGCCAAAAUUUACAGAUUUCAAAACCCACUUGUGUCUUCUUUAAGCUUCUUUAACCUCAAAUGGUGGUUUCUUCAAUAGUGAACCAAAACCCUUCUAAUCUCUGCCCUAAACUCAAAUAAGGUUAGGGAACACUAAUCUAACCUUGGAAACUCCGAAGAAGACUCAAAUCAACAAGACCCAUUUUGGAAAUUCUUCAAAAACGUUUUGAACACUUUUUUUUUGUAACAACCCAAGACUAAAAUUGUUGGAACGAAUCUAAACUCGGCUUUGAUACCAAAUGAUGUAAUUUCUAAAAGGGAAUCAUAAUAAAAUGCGGAAAUUGAAAUACGGAAAGUAAAGAUAACUAGAUAGACACACAAAGAGAAAACAAAAAGCAACCAAAUGGUAUAUAAAACCCAAUGACCUCAAUCCGUUAAUCCUACAAUAGCACCUAACUCUUACGACGACCUUAAGGGCAUUGAACUCCCAAGCAACCGACGUUUCUAAACAAUAGCCAACACAAUCUUAACCAAGCUCUCAACACUUAACAUGAGUUUUCAGUUCUCAAUAUUAAAAAUAAUCUAACUCUAAAAUGAUCCUAAACUGCCUAUUUAUAGUUUUAGGACAUUAUUACACAAAAAGGCCCAAAAUUGACCUGAUAUGACCAAUGGGCGAGCUAAGUUGGGCUCGCCCAAUCCACUUGGCGACUCGCCCAUUGGGUUGGCGAUGGUUCCGAUAUGGAUCCUGCUCCUGGCACGUUCUGGAACAUUAGGCGGUCUGGGGGCCAUCUCAUAAGUCAUUGGGCGAUGCGCCAACUGAUCUUCUGCUCACCAAAGGGCAGUGUUGUCAACUGUCCUCCCUUCGUUCGCCCAAGCAAUCUUCCACGCAUGUUAACCUUUGUUUUCCACCAAUACAAGCCCAAGAGCCUCCAUCCUUGGGAACAACUCUUCAAUCCAUUUGAGUUCCCAAGCUUGUCUAUGAGUCAAAGGUCUUGAGGCAAUCUGGAUUGCAUUAACAUCCGAUCCAAUAAUAUCGUGCCGGCUCGUGGCACCUGAUCCAAAUAUAUCUCGUUAAUUUAUCAUUCUUUAUCACCGCUUUUCACUUCAUUAACAAUAUUUCAUCAUGCCUUCUUUAUUCAAGGCAUCAUUUUGAUCGAGAAAAUUCAAGAUUAUAGAUCGCACAGUAUUGGGAUCUCAGACCAAUCACAACAACACAUAAAUUAUCUAAACCACAACAACCAUGAACAUAGAAAAAUUUACAAUAUCACUCAAUGAUUAUCAGUCACUAUUAAGAGUCUAUCUAUCAUAUAGAAUAAACCAUAACUUACCUCAACCGAAGAGCCGAAGUCAGGCAAGCUACUUCUCCAAUACUUUUCCUUUUCUCAAUGCCUCCGAACGUUUUCAAUCUCUGCAGUAUGCAAUAUCCAUAAAUAAAUGAGUUCGUAGACACCCAUAUUAUUAUAUAUUUAGCCUAGACUCAAAACCCACCCAAAUCUAUAAUCAAAUUCUUAAAUUUUGAUACCAACUAAUAAUCAAGUCUCAUAUGUUCCUAAUUUUUCAAGCUUAGAGUUAAGUCUUAAUUCAUCCAAAUAAUAUAACUCUAAUGAAUUUCAUAUAAUACAAUACACUUAUAAUAUUUAAGUACAUAUCUCAAUAUAUUAAAACUCAAUUUAUAAUAUGAUGACAACGUAAUAAAAUUCAAGAUUAAAGUCACUGGUUUGGAAAACCAGUGGCAACAACUCUAUCCCAAAUUUAUCAUAUACUAUAAGCCAACCAAUUCAUUAUCACCCUCACUUUCUUAUUCAAAAUCCAAACUGCCAGCACAUCCGCUAACACUCACUUUCAAUUCUUAUCUAACCAUGAAAUGUUAUUAUAUAAUAUUUAACCCCCUACUAUUAAAUAUGGACAUUGAAGAUUCAAAGCAUUACCUCGAUGUCGGUCUUCCUUUUUAGACGCCGCAGGUAAAGUUUCUCGCCUAGUUUUCUUUCUUCUCUCGUUUACAAAUUAUUUUUUUACCCUAAUUAUUAUACAUGACCAAUUAUAAAAGUGGUAAAAGUGGCCCACUAUUAAUUUUAAUGUUAUUUUUUUAACCACCAACUAAAUUAAUUAUUAAAAUUACCUCAUUAGUUAUAUAAUUAUAGUUACGAAUAGUCCAAAAUACCAUUUAGAAUCUAUUGAAAGAGCCUUUUAUGAAAUAAAAUCUCUAGUACUCAAAACGACCUAAUGGGUCGUUACAAAUACUCAAUCUCUGUUGAAGUGAAUUCAAUUGAAUUGCGUUUUUUUGUGUUUGGGAAAAAGAUUUUGAUCCAUUUGACAUAGUAGACUUUCCUGCACUGACGAGUUAAUUCUUGAAAUUUCUCAGCUUGAGAAUAAUGAAGUGAAUUCGAUUAAAGAAUAUUUUGAUAAAUUUGACAUAUCUUUUCAAUAUUAACGGUAGACUUUUCGGCAUGGACGAGUUAAUUCUUGAAAAAUUUCCCAGCUUGAGAAUAAUGAAGUGAAUUCUAUUAAAGAAUAUUUUGAUAUAUUUGACAUAUCUUUUUAAUAUUAACGGUAGACUUUCCGGCACCGAUGAGUUAAUUCUUAAAAUUUCUCAGCUUGAGAAUAAUGGAGUUUCUAGGGUAAAACAACAAAAUGGAAAACUCAAAAAGGAAUGGCCAUGUGGUCCAGUCCUAUUUUAGUUAAUUUUGUUAUGCUUGUAGCUUGUUUUGUGUAUUUUGUUAAAAUAUAAUUGUAAACUCAUUUGACUUACAUAUUUUAAUUUUGAAAAUAAAUGCAAUUAUAUGAAUUGAAUAGACCUAAUGAUAUGCAGAAUAUAAAAUACAAAACUUGUUGAUAUACAGUUAAGAUGUGUUGACACCCAAUUUUGGCCCUCUACUAUAUUUGUUAAUCAUCGAGCUUCAUAAAUUUCAAAAGAUUUAAAAUAAUUAGUAUUUAUAAAGUUCAAAAUAUUUUUCAAGUUAUACUUUAGUAAUUUUUAUAAUUUCAUAUUUUUUUUCUAAAUAAUAUGUAGUUUUAUAUAAUUACGUAUAUAAUUAGCAUAUUUUAAAAAUAUUCAAAAAUCAUCUCAAAAGAUGUUACAUCUUAGUUAAAUAUUUUAUUAAUUUAGUUUGGUUAUAAUUUUGAGUUAAUUAAUUUGUAAUUAAGUUAAUUAUUUUGUUAAGAUUAAGAAGCUCAUUAAAAGCAUAAGAGAUAAUAACAUAGUCAUAACAUAAUCAUCAUAGUCAUUUUCAUUAGCAAGCGGAAGUCUUUACUAAAUCUUUGUCUCAAACCAUCUAAUAUAAUUCUUGAAUAAAACUCUUAGGACACAGCCCAUACAAAGUCUAAAGUAUAAAGAAAUGACAUAAGGGAAAUAUGGGUUCAUCCUCAAAGAUAUGAGGACUCACCAAAUCUUCAAGUCUUCUUGCCUCUUAGAAACCUAGCCUCCAAAGCAACUCAAGUAUCCAACCCUACAUUUGGUUAGAAUGUAGGAAAUAUGCGUUAGUACAAAAUGUACCAAGUAUGAAAGCUAGCACAACAUCAUAAGAGCAUCUCAAAUGGUUAGUCAACAUAAGACAAGCAUAAGAGAUAAUAGCAUAGUCAUAACAUAAUCAUCAUAGUCAUAGCAUGGUCUCCAAUAUAAGCAUCAUAUGAACAUAAGUCAACAUAAGACAUAGUUAAUGAGCAUAGGAGAUAAGUCAUAAUCAUAAUAAGCCAAGUCUUUAACCUAAGCAUCUUAUAAGCAUAAUUGACUCUUAGUCAUCUCUACCAUAAUAGAACCAUUUUCAAGUAACCUCAAAAGCAUACAAGUGAAAAGCAUGAAUAGCAUCCCAUUAUACCACCCAAACCAAGUAUCCCUUUUUGGGCCUCUUAAUCAUAGUCUAUAUACAUGGUCUAAAUCUUUAAGCUUUUCUACCAUGAGGGAACGAUACUCCUAAGUAACCUCAAAGCACACUUGUGCAAUGUAUGAAAGGAAUCCCCUACUACCUUUCACACUAAGCAUAACCUUGAAGUCAUCAUAGUCAUAUUUACCUUACUUUGGUCUCAUGCUUAAUUUAUUUCAUAAGGACAAAGGGAACUAUCACCUUAGUCGAUCAUAUCAUGUUAAGGAAGGCAACUAUAGCACAAUCCUAUCUAAACAUACAUCAUAUAAGAGCAAACAUCUCAUGAGUCACCUUAAGGCAAGCUUGUUCCAUGCAUGAACAAGACCCCAUAAUCCUACCCAUGCUAAGCUAGACACUUAAGUUCAUCAUUCAUGUUCAUUAUCUCUUAACAUCAUAAAGACAAUGUUAAUCACCUAUUAGUCAGUAUGAAGUGGAGAGGUAUCUAGACCUACUAUCCCAAACUAGUCAUGCUCAUGUUCAUAAAUUCAAGGGGGAAGUCACUUCAAGGCAUAAAUGUUUAGUUUAUCAUGAAGGGGAAGGGAAGUCACCUCAAGGCAUAAAUGUUUAGUUUAUCAUGAAGGGAAAUGGAAGUCACCUCAAGGCAUAAAUGUUUAGUUCAUGAUGAAGGACAAGGGAAGUCACCUCAAGCCACACAUAUCAUGGAAUCAUAAAGACAAGGGUAAUAACCUCUGGUCACACAUACUAUUGAAUUAUAAGGACAAGAGGAGUUUCCACAAGUCAUACAAAUCAUUGAAUCAUAGGUAUUCGCCUCCAUGUUCAUUAUUAGAAGAAUCAUAGGUAUUCGCCUCCAUGUUCAUUAUUAGAAGAUAUAGGUAUCAUAGGUAUUUGUCUCUAUGUUCAUUUUAAGGUGAUAUAGGUAUUCUCCUCCAUAUCAAUUUUAGUGUGUAAUGUAGAUAGUCGCCUCCACAUCAUCACAUAAUGAUCAUAUGUAAUCGCCUCGAUGUCCAACAUAAAGGCUAAUGGGUAAUCACCGCUUGCCUUCAGAGUCACACAUACAUAAGGGUAAUCACCUCAUACUCCCCAUACUCAACUAAUUAGGAGUAAGGGAAUUCACCACAUUCCUAUCAUGUAAAGGUCAUUUAGGGGAAUCACCACAAGCCUUAUCACAUCUUAGAGACCUAGGACUUAGAUUCAUUUUAGUUGAGAGAACCUUUCAACCUAGAAUCAUUCUAUGUGAGAGAACCUUUCAUGUCAUAUCAUACUCAUGCCUAAAACCAUAUCUAGAACUCUACAUUAGACAUUGGUAUCAUCAUGGAUCAAGUGAGUCUAUCACUUUGUGCAUCUAAGCCUUUAUAAUGUAGAUUAGGUAGGUAUAGGCCUUCUACGACAAUUCUAUACUUUUAUCCUCUAAUCUCACAUAUAGACUUUACUCUCAAAGCCUUAACCUUCACAGUUCAUCAUAUUGGAUUUACCUUCAUACCCUAGUGAUAAACAUUUAUUGAUACAAGCCUUACAUUCAAGCUUUGCUUCUUGCAACCUUCAUUCAUUCCUAGAUUUCAAGGUAUUCUAAUCAUAUUCAUCAUUACUACGUGAUUCUAGUCAUAAUUGAUCAUAAAGGUUCAGUUCUAACUUUACAAGUCAAGAUCCUUCCUAUUCAAUCAGGUCUUGUUCAAUUCAUGAUUAGAUUAUCCUAACUAUGAUCAAUUAGCGUACAAGACAUUGAUUUAGGAAGAUCACCUUUAAACCUUGAACUUUGCCUUUAAUGGCCUAAACCCACAAAGAUCAUAUUCAUCAAUUUAGAUUUGGGUUUACUAUAGAAAUCACAUGAUAUCAUCAUAAUAUCAUUAAAUAAAGUUAAAUCAAUCAUAAUUGGGUGAUAUCCACUAGAUUGGAAUCACACCCAAACCUUACCCACAAUGCAAUCACAACCCUAGCUAGAAUUGGAUUUUUGAUAUCACAAGUGGGAAACUAUGGGGGCUCUAUGGGUAGAAGAACCCAUAUAUGAUUAAGAUUCACAUACCUUGCUUCAAAUACCUAAAUAAAUCUUGAAUCCUGGAGAAAACUCGACCUAGGUGUUGCCCCUAUUUUUAUUCUUCUUUGCUCCUAGAGAGAGAAUAUUUGGAGAGUGAUUUGGGGGUUCUAAGAUGAAUGAUCUAAUGACUUAGUUUUAGGGGUGUAUUAGACUUGUAUAGGUGGAUAAUUAACUAACUAACCGACCUACCUUAACCCCUAAUUUAUAACUUAAUUAAUUCCCAAACCCCUCAACUAAAACUAAAAGUCAUCAAAAUAGCUCAAAUCAUGAGACCACCACCCACGGACCGUGGUGGGUCUACGGACCAUCCUAGUCCUCCGUGGUCUGAGGCUGGGGGUCUAAAAUUUCAGGUCAUGAGAAGCCUUGACCCACAACCCCAAGCUACGGGGUGUGGGUCCAUCUACGGCCAGUAGAUGGCAUCGUAAGUGCUGCCAAAAUUCCAGAUUUAAGGGACUAUUUUGGGGUCCUCCUCAAAGACCCUUUGUUUGGUCCUUGGGGAGUCGGGUACCCGGACGUUUAACCCUAAAUCCCCUAUACUAAGUACGGGAAUCAUUUCUUUUGAUUUUUAAUCCUCAUACGACACUUCAAAAUCUUACAAAAGGCUCUAGAACAUGCCUGUUCAACUCACUAAAUUCCAGGAUGUUACAGUUAUGAUAUGCUAAGUGGAUUGUAUGAGGCCUCUCAAAGUAUUAAACACCUUGUUACAUCUAGGGGGUACCCUUGGGUCGUGACAAACUUGGUAAUCAGAGCACAUGGUUUAGAAUGGUUCUAGGAUGCCUAAAACCAUGUCUAGUAGAGUCUUUUUCAUAAAUGUGAAGCGCUCCACAUUUAUGAAUGAGAGGCUAAUAGAUGUUUAGGAAACUUCACUUCUCUAAGUCGUGCCAUGGAGUUUAACUCUAUAAAGUCUUUCUUCUAAUCCUUACCCGAUUAUUUUCAGGAUAUAACUACUAGAAAGGCUAAUACUAGAAGGACUGAGGGAGACAAUAUGGGACAAGAAGUUCCUCCCCAAGCUCCUCCUUAAUAUCCGAUUGAUCCUUUAGCCGAGAACGUAACCAAUUCGGUGGUUAGGUCGACAUUCCAAGUGUUGGCUCAAGCCGUGAUGGCCCAAGCCAAUAGUGAAGUGAUAGCUCCCGUGAACACAAAUAUGGGCACGAUGGCGGCAAGAGUGAGGGACUUUAUAAGGAUGAACCCUCCCAAAUUUCAUGGAUCCAAAGUUGAGGAAGAUCCUUAAGAAUUCAUUGAUGAGGUCUAUAAGAUACUUGCUAUCAUGGGGGUGACUCCGGUAGAGAAGGCAUAAUUGGCCGCUUAUCAACUCAAAGGUGUUGCUCAGAUUUGGUUCAAUCAAUGGAAAAAGUCAAGGCCGGAAGGAGCGAGUCCCAUAGAGUGGAAAAGGUUCAAAAGUGAUUUUGUUGAUAAGUUCUUCCCUCUAUAUAUGAGAGAGGCCAUGUUCUUGAGUUCAUCAACCUUCGACAAGGAAAUAUGAGUGUGAGGGAAUAAACUUUGAGGUUCACUUAACUAUCUAAAUAUGCUCCUUCUAUUGUGGAGGAUCGUAGGACCAAGAUGAGUAUGUUUGUGUCGGGAGUGUCCGACUUGGUUGUCAAAGAAUGUCGCACGGCUAUGUUUGUUCAUGAUAUGGAUAUUUCUUGCCUUAUGGUGCAUACCCAAUAAAUUGAGGAAGAAAAGCUCAAGGAGAGAUAUAGGAAAGAAAAAAGGGUAAGAAUGGAUGAUGGUAACUUUUCACAUUCUAGGUCCAAUGGAAGAGGUCGUUCAAGGUUACGAUAAAGGUUCUCCGGGAAAGUUCUUCAAGUGCUCCUCCAAGUCCUAACAAUGAAAGGGUGUCUAACCCUAAGCCUCAAGGAGAUGGUAAUAAGUCCAUGAUGCCUACUUGUGCUAAGUGUGGGAGAAACCAUGAGGGCAAGUGUCUAGUGGGCUCUAAUGCUUGUUUUGGGUGUGGUAAGAUGGAUCAAAAUAUAAGGAAUUGUCCUUUAGUUGCUAAGAAUGAGGGAGAUACUCGCCGUAGGGCUCAAUCCAACCCCUCAUCCGGUCCAAGUGGUUAGUGUGCUAGUGCUCCUAAGAGAAAUCGAUUCUAUGCUCUUUAGACUAGAGGUGACCAAGAGAGCUCCCCCAAUGUGGUGACAGUAUGUUAAAGGUUUUUCAAAUUGAUGUGUAUGCUUUGAUAUUUCCCGGUGCUACUUUGUCCUUUGUGUCUCCUUAUGUAGCUAUGAGAUUUGAUGUGCUCCCCGAUGUGUUGUUAGAGCCCUUUUCUAUUUCUACCCGUAGGUGAUUCGUGUUAGCUGAAAGGGUAUAUAGAAGAAGUCCCAUUUCCUUGUCCCAUAGAGUUGCUCUUUUUGACUUGGUAGCACUUGAUAUUUUAGACUGGAUGUAGAUUCUGAAACCCCUUCUCUUGAGUCGAACCCCAUUGGAAAAGAGUUUCCAGAAGUGUUCCCAGAUGAUCUACCUGGUAUUCCUCCCGAAAGGGAAAUAGACUUUUUUAUUGACCUUCUCCCAGAUACGCAACCUGUCACGACCCGAGAGUACCCCUAGUCGUAACAUGGCGUAUUCGACCCCGAAUGGGUCUUAUACGAGCCACAUAGUCAUUCAUUGCAUUCAAUAAUGAAAAUAGUGCGGAAAUAAAAAAAAACUUAUUUACAUCCACACAUUUAAACUUCAUUAAAACAACUUUAAAAACACACAGCGGAAGUCUAAGUCUCACAUGGCCAUCUUAGACACAGUCACAAAACAUAAGUAGGGACACNNNNNNNNNNNNNNNNNNNNNNNNNNNNNNNNNNNNNNNNNNNNNNNNNNNNNNNNNNNNNNNNNNNNNNNNNNNNNNNNNNNNNNNNNNNNNNNNNNNNNNNNNNNNNNNNNNNNNNNNNNNNNNNNNNNNNNNNNNNNNNNNNNNNNNNNNNNNNNNNNNNNNNNNNNNNNNNNNNNNNNNNNNNNNNNNNNNNNNNNNNNNNNNNNNNNNNNNNNNNNNNNNNNNNNNNNNNNNNNNNNNNNNNNNNNNNNNNNNNNNNNNNNNNNNNNNNNNNNNNNNNNNNNNNNNNNNNNNNNNNNNNNNNNNNNNNNNNNNNNNNNNNNNNNNNNNNNNNNNNNNNNNNNNNNNNNNNNNNNNNNNNNNNNNNNNNNNNNNNNNNNNNNNNNNNNNNNNNNNNNNNNNNNNNNNNNNNNNNNNNNNNNNNNNNNNNNNNNNNNNNNNNNNNNNNNNNNNNNNNNNNNNNNNNNNNNNNNNNNNNNNNNNNNNNNNNNNNNNNNNNNNNNNNNNNNNNNNNNNNNNNNNNNNNNNNNNNNNNNNNNNNNNNNNNNNNNNNNNNNNNNNNNNNNNNNNNNNNNNNNNNNNNNNNNNNNNNNNNNNNNNNNNNNNNNNNNNNNNNNNNNNNNNNNNNNNNNNNNNNNNNNNNNNNNNNNNNNNNNNNNNNNNNNNNNNNNNNNNNNNNNNNNNNNNNNNNNNNNNNNNNNNNNNNNNNNNNNNNNNNNNNNNNNNNNNNNNNNNNNNNNNNNNNNNNNNNNNNNNNNNNNNNNNNNNNNNNNNNNNNNNNNNNNNNNNNNNNNNNNNNNNNNNNNNNNNNNNNNNNNNNNNNNNNNNNNNNNNNNNNNNNNNNNNNNNNNNNNNNNNNNNNNNNNNNNNNNNNNNNNNNNNNNNNNNNNNNNNNNNNNNNNNNNNNNNNNNNNNNNNNNNNNNNNNNNNNNNNNNNNNNNNNNNNNNNNNNNNNNNNNNNNNNNNNNNNNNNNNNNNNNNNNNNNNNNNNNNNNNNNNNNNNNNNNNNNNNNNNNNNNNNNNNNNNNNNNNNNNNNNNNNNNNNNNNNNNNNNNNNNNNNNNNNNNNNNNNNNNNNNNNNNNNNNNNNNNNNNNNNNNNNNNNNNNNNNNNNNNNNNNNNNNNNNNNNNNNNNNNNNNNNNNNNNNNNNNNNNNNNNNNNNNNNNNNNNNNNNNNNNNNNNNNNNNNNNNNNNNNNNNNNNNNNNNNNNNNNNNNNNNNNNNNNNNNNNNNNNNNNNNNNNNNNNNNNNNNNNNNNNNNNNNNNNNNNNNNNNNNNNNNNNNNNNNNNNNNNNNNNNNNNNNNNNNNNNNNNNNNNNNNNNNNNNNNNNNNNNNNNNNNNNNNNNNNNNNNNNNNNNNNNNNNNNNNNNNNNNNNNNNNNNNNNNNNNNNNNNNNNNNNNNNNNNNNNNNNNNNNNNNNNNNNNNNNNNNNNNNNNNNNNNNNNNNNNNNNNNNNNNNNNNNNNNNNNNNNNNNNNNNNNNNNNNNNNNNNNNNNNNNNNNNNNNNNNNNNNNNNNNNNNNNNNNNNNNNNNNNNNNNNNNNNNNNNNNNNNNNNNNNNNNNNNNNNNNNNNNNNNNNNNNNNNNNNNNNNNNNNNNNNNNNNNNNNNNNNNNNNNNNNNNNNNNNNNNNNNNNNNNNNNNNNNNNNNNNNNNNNNNNNNNNNNNNNNNNNNNNNNNNNNNNNNNNNNNNNNNNNNNNNNNNNNNNNNNNNNNNNNNNNNNNNNNNNNNNNNNNNNNNNNNNNNNNNNNNNNNNNNNNNNNNNNNNNNNNNNNNNNNNNNNNNNNNNNNNNNNNNNNNNNNNNNNNNNNNNNNNNNNNNNNNNNNNNNNNNNNNNNNNNNNNNNNNNNNNNNNNNNNNNNNNNNNNNNNNNNNNNNNNNNNNNNNNNNNNNNNNNNNNNNNNNNNNNNNNNNNNNNNNNNNNNNNNNNNNNNNNNNNNNNNNNNNNNNNNNNNNNNNNNNNNNNNNNNNNNNNNNNNNNNNNNNNNNNNNNNNNNNNNNNNNNNUUUUUGAGAGAGGGAGGGUUUCUUUUUUCUUCCUAAUUGGAGUGAUUUAAAUGGAAGAAUUUUGGUCAAAAGGGUUUUAUAAUUUCUAGGAAAUAAUAUAUGUCAUUUGGAAGAAAUGGUCCAACACUUAGAAAAAAAUUUAGGCGGGUGAACAGUAAUGAACAGUAAAAUUAGCUACUGGAAAUUGUCUUUUUCUGUCGGACAGAUUUUACGGAAAUGGGCAUAACUUCUUCGUCCGAACUCCGAAUGAGGUGAAACGAAGUGCGUUAGGUAGCUAACUCAAAGGGCUUUCCAUGGAUAUAUUAUUGGCCACCCAAAUAAUUUGUGUGCUAGGAGAUAUGACCCUCCAAAGUAGACCCUCGAAAAGGCUUCACUUGGAAAUUUCGGAUUUUGAUACGGUUGCUCUAAAAUUUGGGUUAGACCCAUUUCCCACUCAAUUUGACCCCCUAAACAAGAAUAUGAAGUCGGAUUUUCGAAAAACGAAACGGAUCUUUUUAUAUACAGCUAAACAAGUUUCCGGUAACUUUCGAAGCACAUUUUUAAGAACUUUUUGGGUCAAAUUCAAAUAUAAUCAUUUCAUUAAGUUCUCGACUCCAAACUCACAUGUGAGGCUCUAGUUUCACUCUAUCAUUUUCCGGGUCGUUACACAACCUAUCUCCAUUCAUCCUUAUAGAAUGACUCCGGCGGAACUUAAUGAGUUGAAGGAUCAGUUGGAAGAUCUGUUAGACAAGGGCUUUAUCCGACCAAGCAUCUCACCAUGGGGUGCUCCGGUUUGUUAAGAAAAAUGAUGGUGCACUCUGAAUGUGCAUCGAUUAUUGACAGUUGAACAAGGUGACCAUUAAGAACAAAUAUCCCCUUCCAAGGAUUAAUGAUUUGUUUGACGAACUCCAAGGGGCAAGUUAUUUCUCUAAAAUUGAUCUCCGAUCGGGUUAUCACCAAUUGAGGGUGAAAGAGGAAGAUAUUCUGAAAAUGACUUUUAGAACCCGGUAUGGUCACUAUGAGUUUCUAGUAAUGCCAUUUGGAUUGACUAACGCUCCAGUGGCGUUUAUGGACUUGAUGAACUAGGUGUUUAGGCAAUACCUUGAUAUGUUUGUGAUUGUGUUUAUCGAUGACAUUUUGAUCUACUCAAGAAGUGAGGAUGAGCAUAUUGGUCAUUUGAGGAUCGUAUUGCAAAUCCUUAAGGAACAACAACUUUUUGCAAAGUUCAGCAAAUGUGAAUUUUGGCUAAGAUUGGUAGCUUUCCUUUGUCAUAUAGUGUCAAACAAAGGUAUAGAGGUAGAUCCUAAGAAGACGGAUGCGGUCAAGAGUUGGCCUAGACCUCUAUCACCUUCGGACAUUAGAAGUUACUUGGUUUUGGCCGGUUAUUAUCAAUGAUUUGUUGAAGGGCUUUCUUCUAUUGCCUCUCCAUUGACUACUUUGACUCAAAAGAAGGCUAAGUUUGUAUGGUCCGAAUCAUGUGAGAAAAGUUUUCAAGAAUUGAAAUAUAGACUUACCUCCGCUCCAGUUUUUACCUUACUGAAAGGUAUGGAUGGAUUUGUGGUAUAUUGUGAUACCUCAAGAAGUGGGUUGGGAUGUGUGCUUAUAAAAAACGGAAAGGUUAUUGCCUAUGCCUCAAGACAACUUAAGGUUUAUGAGAAGAAUUAUCCGACCCAUGAUCUUGAAUUAACGGCGGUGGUAUUGCCUUAAAGAAAUGGAGGCAUUAUUUAUGUGGAGUGCAUGUAGAUGUGUUCACUAACCACAAAUGUAACACCCCGUAGUUUAGUAGACCAUCUAUGGCUAAGUUUGAGGGCUACGAGUCAAGGCUAGAAGGCAUGAGCCAAGGCAAAGGGGCAUGGGCCAAGACAAGAGCCAAGGCUGCCCAAAGCUUGCCAUGGCAUUUCCUUGGACCACGAGAGCCUUCACGGCUCGUGGUGGCCACCACGUCUUGUGGGGCCACCCGUGGUGGUGAGCUAGUGGGCCCCCAAGGCUAGCUCAAGUUGGCCUCCUCCACACGAGCCACUUCACGAAUCGUGAAGGCCUAGACGACUCAUGAGAGUGGUCGUUGUCUUGCCUUCACUAUGUGGGAGAUAAGUUAAGGUGUCAUGGCUACUGGUCAAGGGAUCACGGGCACCUUCACGGGCCGUGAUACCCUUGAUGGAUCGUGAAGGUGGCCGUAGUGCCUGGCACUAGGCUGCCUAAGGAGGGUCAUUUUGGAAAAUUCCUAAUUAGGUGGUUAUUAAGUAAGGUCGUUUUGUAAAGUCUUAGUACACCUAUAUAAGAUAUUUUAACUCUUUAAACUCACCAUUCAAGUAAUUAUUUCCCUAGACCCAAAUCAAAUCCCCAAAAGCUCUCCUCUCAAAUAUUUCUCUCUCUAAAACUUGGAGAAGAAGAUAGAGCUUGAAGCUAGGUAAAAAACAAGACUCCAUUGUUGCAAGCUUUGUAAGGCUUUAUAACAAAGGUAUGUUAGCUUAUUCAUCCAUGUAUUCUUCCAUCCAUGGAGUGCCCUAGAAAUCCCCUAAUUGUGAAGAUGAAAUCCCCAAUUCAAGUUAGGGUUCCUUCCAAUAUUGUGGGUUAUGUUGAGUAUGAAUCCAAUUAGGUGGAUAUUGAUUGUUUAUGACUGAAUUAGUAGUAAAUCAUGAUAUUAUGAUGAAAUUACAUGUUUCCUAUGGUUAACCCUAGUCUAAUUGAUGAAAUCAAGUAAUGUGGGUUUAUGCCUUGUGAAAGGGAAAUUGAGGAUUUAGAGAUGAUCUUCUCGAAUUAAUGAUAUGUAUAGUAAUUGUUCAAGAAUAGAAGCAUGUAAACAUGAAUUGAACUAGAUUGAAGAAUAUAUGAUGGAUCAUGACUAGUAAUGAUUGAGAUUGAGUUUUUAUGAUGAUUUAUGACUAGAAUCACUCAAGAAUAAUGUAUGUGAAUAGAAUACCUUGUGACCUAGGUAUGUAUGAUGAUUGGAAGAGGUAAAGCUAAUAUGAUGAAUUAUGUAUGUAAAGGCUUUGAGAGUGAAGCCUAUAUGAAAAUGGUAGACUAGUAGACAUCAUUGCUCUGGAAGGACUUUACCCACCUAAUCUACCUAAUGAAUGUAUAUUAUAGCAUGAGUUAUGUUGUUGUGUUGUGGGAAGGCUAGCCAUAUACAUACACCUAUGCAUGACCAUGGAAUGUGAAAGUUCUUCUCACAUAGAAUGAUUCUAGGUUGAAAUGUUUACUCACCUAAAAUGAAUUAAGUAUGCUGAACUAGAAUAGCUUGAAGUUUUGACCUAGAUCCCUUCAUGAAUAGCUUGACUUGGUAAGAUAAGACCAUGCUUGGUAGCUUGAGUUAGGGUAGCUUGUACUAGCAUCAUAGUAUGCUUUCAUGGUAGCAUGCCUUGGUUAGGCCAAGUCCAUUUCAUGGUAUUUUAGGAUUGAGAAAUCAUACUCCUAAGGGUAGCUUGAACUAGCAUUAUAGAAUGUCUUUAUGGUAGCAUGACUUGGUUAGGCCAAGACCAUUUCAUGGUAGCUUUGGGUUGAGAAUUAUACUCUCAUAAGGGUAGCUUGUAUUAGCAUUAUGGAACGCUUGCAUGGUAGCUAGGUUGGAACACUUGUACCCUUCCUUGUAUAUCUUGGACUUUCAUGAUAGUAUGCUUCCCAUGGUAGUUUGGUUUAGCAUAAUGUAGUUAUGUUAGCAAGAUGAUUAGCUUUGUCUAGCCUAGUAGGGUGCUAUUCUUUGGUAGCCUUGAAUUGAUAAAUAGAAAUCAUUUAUGUGUAAUGACUUGCCUUGUACUAAGUAAAGAAGUAUUUUAAAUGAAUAGUGGCAAGAAGUAAAGGGGGACUAUUCCCCAACUAAUGAGUAUGUGUGAUAGCCUAAAGUGGUACUUAGUAUGGGUAGGAUUAUGGGGUCUUAUCCAUGCUUUGCGCAAGUAUAACUUGAAGCUACUUUAGAAGUGUUCUCUUAUAUGAUGUAUGUUUAGCUUGGAUUGUUUCUAUAGUUGCCUUUCAUAAUAUGUUUGACUAAAGGUGAAGAGUCCCUUGUCUAUCUGAAGAUAGCUAAGAAUGAGACCAAAGAAUGGUAAGUAUGAUUAUGAUGGUCUAAGAGUAAUACUUAGUGUGAAUGGUAUUAUGGGGUCUUAUUCAUACAUUGCACAAGUAUACUUUGCGGUUACUUAUGAGAUAGUUCUCCUAUGAGAUGAAGGUCUAAGUUGUGACCAUGUUAUUACUAUGUGGUAUCUCCUAUGCUAUUGGAUUAUGCCUUAUGUUGACUUAUGCUCAUAUUAUCUCUAUGUUAGAGAUUAUGCUUAUGACCAUGUUAUUAUCUCAUAUGCUUAUGGCGUAUGUCUUAUGUAGGCUAACACUUUUGUUAUGCUUUUAUGAUGUUAUGCUAGCAAACAUAUUUAGUACAUUUUGUACUAACGCAUACUCUUGCCUACAUUCUUAUCAAAUGUAGGGUUCGGAGAUCUUGAGUUCUAUUCUUGUGGCUAGGUUUCUAGAAGAGCAAAGGAGUUGAAGAUUUGGUGAGUCAUCAUAGCAUCGAGGAUGUGAUCACCUUCCUUAGGUCAUUCUUUUAUGUUUUAGACUUUUGUAUGGGCUGCGUCCCAAAGCUUAUUCAAGUUGUAUUGAUGGUUUGAGACAAAGUGUAAACAGACUUCCACUUGCUUUUAUUAAAGACUUCGAUUGUAUGGAAAAAGUUUUAAAACUUCCCGCAUCAUUUCUAUGUAGUUUAUGUUAUGAUAUGCCAAGUGGCUUGUGUUAGGCCUUUCGGGGUCUAGUACGCCUUGUCACACCUAGGGUGUACCCUUGGGUCGUGACAAACUUGGUAAUUAGAGCACGAGGUUUAUAAUGGUUCUAGGAUGUCUCAAAAUGACGUCUAGUAGAGUCCUGUUCAUGAGUGUGAAGCGCGCCACAUUUAUGAAUAUGAAGCUGUUAGAUUAGUAGGAAACUUCACCUCUUCAUUCUCUAAGUCGUGCUAUAGAGUUUAGUUCUAUAAGGUAUUUCUCCUAUUCUUUACCUGAUGGUCUACAAGUUAUGGCUAACAAGGGCAAAUGCUAGAAAGAAUGAGGAAGACGUGGUGGAUCAAGAUGUUCCUCCAUAAGAUCUUCCACAAGCGCCACAAGCUCCUAUUGACUCUUUGGAUAUGUCCAAUGCGGAGAUUAGGUCAGCCUUUCAAAUGUUGGCCCAGGCCAUGACGGCACAAAUGAAUAGGGAGGUGGUAGCUUCGGUGAACCCAAUAAGGGGAAUGGCUGCUUCUAGAGUGAGGGAGUUUUUUAGGAUGAACCCUCCAGAGUUUUAUGGCUCCAAGGUGGAAAAGGAUCCUAGAGAGUUUAUAGAUGAGGUUUAUAAGGUGCUUGCUAUCAUGUGGGUGACUUCGGUAGAGAAAGUAGAGCUAGCCGCUUACCAAUUGAAGGGUGUUGCUCAAGUGUGGUAUGAACAAUGGAAAGAUGCUAGGUAGGUAGAAGCGGGUCCAAUAGAUUGGGAAGUGUUCAAACUAGCAUUUCUUGAUAGGUUCUUUCCCCGAGAGUAGAGGAAAGCUAAGGUAGAAGAGUUCAUUUACCUUAAGCAAGGUAGCAUGAGUGUUAAGGAGUAUGCCUUGAAAUUCACCGAACUAUGCAAGUAUGCUCUAUCUAUGGUGUCAGAUUUGAGGGAUAUAAUGAGUAGGUUUUUUACCGGGGUGUCCGACAUAGUAGAAAAAGAAUGUCGUACGGCAAUGCUCCAUUAUGAUAUGGAUAUCUCAAGUCUCAUGGUGUAUGCCCAAUGGAGGAGUCAAAACUCAAAUAAGAGAAAUCUAGGGAGAAAAAGAGGUCUAGGAUGGAAAAUGAUAAGUCCUUUCAUGAUGGGUCUGAUGGACAUGGUCGCUCUAGGAAUCAACAAAGGUAUUCUGGACAAGGUUCUUUUAGUACUCCUAAGUAUAAGGAGGAGAGGGUGUCUAACCCUAAUCCACCCGAAAUUGGUAAUAAGGCUAUAUGGUCUACUUGUGCUAGAUGUGGAAAGAGACAUGAGGGUUGGUGUUUGGCCGAAAGAGAGGGUUGCUUUAGUUGUGGUGAGAGUGGCCACAAGAUAAAGGAAUGUCCAAAGUCAAUCUAUGAGAAGAGACGGUAAGCAAGUUGCUCCUAGUGGUUCGGAUGGGGAUUCCCAAAAGAAGAAUAGGUUCUAUGAUCUCCAAGCUAGAGAUGAUCAAGACUGACCUUAAGUGUGAAUUCCAGUAUGUUAGUAGCUUCUUAAUUGAUUGUUUAUGCUUUGUUAGAAUUUAGAUGCCUUAGUAGAAUUGAAAGAGAUGGUGUUAGAAAUCCGUUGAGGCUUGCUCCUAAGGGGGAGAUGGUGUGCCUUGAUGGUAAGUUCAUUAUGUGUUAUAUGUUGCCACGAUGUCUUCGUAUGCAAGUUCUUGAGAAAAUUAUGUUUUAGUAAGAAAACAAAUGAUCUUUUAUAAUUGUUUUCCUCAUGUUGUUGUGUGUUGUGUAAAAGUUUCCUUCAUUCUUUAUGAGAUGAAUUGUUGAACAUGUUUUAGUAUGCUUUUAUGAUUAGGUUGCAUAUGAGCUCCAUGAGAGUAUGUUGAGCAUGCCUUAGUUCGGAGAUGCUAGUUCCUCAUUGAAUAUGAGUAGAUAUUGAAUUUCAUGCAUUUUUUGGGUUGCUAGAUGUAGUUCCUACUCCCUUGUGUUUCAUCGAGUAUGUUUAGCUUGGAGUCGAAGUUUUCCUCCUUGGUUGUGUGCAUUUAGAUAUGUUGCAUGCAUGAUGGGCUGCUAGUCUAGAGUCCUUUCCUUAAGAGGUGUUUAGAAUCGUCAUUUGAGGACGAGUGUCCCCAAGAGGGAGAUAUUGUAACAUUCGGUAGUUUAGUAGACCAUCUAAGGCUAAGUUUGAGGGCUACGACUCAAGGCUAGAAGGAAUGAGCCAAGGCAAAGGGGCAAGGGCCAAGGCAAGAACCAAGGCUGCCCCAAGCUUGCCAUGGCACUGCCUUGGACCACGAGAGCCUUCACGGCUCGGGGUAGCCACCAAGGCUUGUGGGGUAAUCCGUGGUGGUGAGGUAGUGUGCCUCCAAGGCUAGCCCAAGUUGGCCUCCUCCACACGAGCCACUUCACGGAUCGUGAAGCCUAAACGGCUCGUGGGAGUGGCUGUGGUCUUGCCUUCACCAUGUGGGGGUUAAGUUAAGGCGCCAUGGCUAUUGGUCAAGGGACCACGUUCACCUUCACGGGCUGUGGUACCCUUGACGAAUUGUGAAGGUGGCCGUAGUGCCUGGCACUAGGCUGCCUAGGAGGGUCAUUUUGGGAAAUUCCUAAUUAGGUGGUUAUUAAGUGAGGUUGUUUUGUAUUGUCUUAGUACACAUAUAUAAGCUAUUUUAAACCUUUAAACUCACCAGUCAAGUCAUUAUUUCCCUAAACCCAAAUCAAAUCCCCAAAAGCUCUCCUCUCAAAUAUUUCUCUCUUUAAAACUUGAAGAAGAAGUUAGAGCUUGAAGUUAGGUUAAGAAAAAGACUCCAUUGUUGCAAUAUUUGUAAGGCUUUAUAACCAAGGUAUUUUAGCUUAUUCAUCCAUGGAUUCUUCCAUCCAUGGAGUCCCCUAGAAAUCUCCCAAUUGUGAAGAUGAAAUCCCCAAUUCAAGUUAGGGUUCCUUCCAAUAUUGUUUGGUUAUGUUGAGUAUGAAUCCAAUUAAGUGGAUAUUGAUUGUUUAUGAUUGAAUAAGUUUCCUAUGGUUAACCCUAGUCUAAUUGAUGAAAUCAAGUAAUGUUGGUUUAUGUCUUGUGAAAGGGAAAUUGAGGAUUUAUAGAUGAUCUUCCAGAAUUAAUGAUAUGUAUAGUAAUUGUUCAAGAAUAGAAGCAUGUAAACAUAAAUUGAACUAUAUUGAAGAAUAUAUGAUGGAUCAUAUCUAGUAAUGAUUAAGAUUGAGUCUUUAUGAUGAUUUAUGACUAGAAUCACUCAAGAAUGAAGUAUGUGAAUAGAAUACCUUGUGACCUAGGUAUGUAUGAUGAUUGGAAGAGGUAAAGCUUUGAGAGUAAAGAUAAUAUGAUGAAUUAUGUAUGUAAAGGCUUUGAGAGUGAAACCUACAUGAAAAUGGUAGACUAGUAGACAUCAUUAUUGUGGAAGGACUUUACCCACCUAAUCUACCUAAUGAAUGUAUAUGAUAGCAUGAGUUAUGUUGUUGUGUUGUGGGAAGGCUAUCCUUAUACACACACCUAUGCAUGACCAUGGAAUGUGAAAGUUCUUCUCACAUAGAAUGAUUCUAGGUUGAAAGUUUUACUCACCUAAAAUGAAUCAAGUAUGUAGGACUAGAAUAGCUUGAAGUUGUGACCUAGAUCCCUUCAUGAAUAUCUUGACUUGGUAAUAUAAGACUAUGCUUGGUAGCUUGAGUUAGGAGUUUUCAUGGUAGCCUUGGAUUGAGGAAUUACACUCUCCUAAGGGUAGCUUGUACUAGCAUCAUAGUAUGCUUUCAUGGGAGCAUGACUUGGUUAGGCCAAGACCAUUUCAUGGUAGAUUAGGAUUAAGAAAUCAUACUCUCCUAAGGGUAGCUUGAACUAGCAUUAUAGAAUGCCUUCAUGGUAGCAUGACUUGGUUAGGCCAAGACCAUUUCAUGGUAUCUUAGGGUUGAGAAUUAUACUAUCCUAAAGGUAGCUUGUACUAGAAUCAUGGAAUGCUUGCAUGGUAGCUAGGUUUGAACACUUGUACCCUUCCUUGUAUAGCUUGGACUUGCAUGAUAGUAUGCUUCCCAUGGUAGUUUUGUUUAGAAUAAUUAGGGUUGUUCAUGGUUAUGGUUAUAAAACCAAAUCAAUCCACAAUCUGAACCAAACCGAUAUUUGGUUUGAUUUGGUUAGGUUAGGUUUUUAAAUUUUGGAAAACCGAUAUUAUUUGGUUUGGUUUUGGUUUUACAAAAAUUAACCAUAAAAAUAACCAAACCGAACCGAGAAGUUAUAUAUAUAAAUUUUAUAAUUAUUUAUAAAUAAAAUAUAAGUAUUUUGAUAAAUUUUAAUUAACCUAAGUCUUUAAUUUUACUAUAUUCUGAGGCCCAACACUUAAAUUUUAGCCCAACUAUUAAAACCUUAAGUCUAAAUCCUUCAAUAUUCAUUACUUUAAAGAUUACACUUUCUUUGUUCUCUAUAAAAUUUUCUAACGUAGCAUUGAAUAAUUUAAAGCUCAAGCUAAAGAAGAUGGUAAUUGAUUAGUUUUGACUCUGAAAUAUUGGUUUUUUUUAGAAGUAAUUUCUCAAUAUUUUAAGGUGUAAUUUUAUUGAAAAGUCUAUUGCUAAGUUGUUGAGAUCUCGAGAAUAUUGAACCAACUUUAUGCUAUUGAAAAUGAGUUUUUUUAGUUUCUGAAACUUGGUACAUCGGAUGAAUCACUUUGUUCAUGCAAUAACUUAUUUGUGAAUUAUUCAUCUACUAAGUAUUUGUGUCUAUCGAGAUGCAUAUGUCUUCAACAAACUUAUUACUUUCGAACCGAAAAAAAAUAAAAAAACUAACCAAACCAAACCAAACCAAACUGAUGAUAACCAAAUCAACGAUUUUUUUUUAUACGAUUUAGUUUGGUUUUAAAAAUUUAAAAAUCAAUUUAAAUUGGUUUAGUUUUGGUUUUAACUAAUAACCGAUCCGAACCGAACCAUGAACAUCCCUAAGCAUAAUGUAGUUAUGUUAGCAAGAUGAUUAGUUUGGUUUAGCCUAGUAGGGUGUUAUUCCUUGGUAGCCUUGAAUUAAUAAAUAGAAAUCAUUUAUGUGUAAUGACUUGUCGUAUACUAAGUAAAGAAGUACUUUAAAUGCAUAGUGGCAAGAAGUAAAGAGGGAUUAGUCCCCAACUAAUGAGUAUGUAUGAUAACCUAAAGUGGUACUUAGUAUGGGUAGGAUUAUGGGGUCUUAUACAUGCAUUUCAAAAGUAUAACUUGAAUCUACUUAUGAAGUGUUCUCUUAUAUGAUGUAUGUUUAGCUUGGAUUGUUGCUAUUGUUGCCUUCCAUGAUAUGUUUGACUAAAAGUGAAGAGUCCCUUGUCUAUAUGAAGAAAUCUAAGAAUGAGACCAAAGAAUGGUAAGUAUGAUUAUGAUGGCCUAAGAGUAAUACUUAGUGUGAAUGGGAUUGUGGGGUCUUAUUCAUACAUUGCACAAGUAUGCUUUGAGGUUACUAAUGAGAUAGUUCUCUUAUGAGAUGAAGGUCUAAGUAGUGACCAUGUUAUGACUAUGUGGUAUCUCCUAUGCUAUUGGAUUAUGCCUUAUGUUGACUUAUGCUCAUAUUAUCUCUAUGUUGGAGAUUAUGCUUAUGACCAUGUUAUUAUCUCAUGUGCUUAUGGCUUCUGUCUUAUGUUUGCUAACGCUUUUGUUAUGUUCUUAUGAUGUUAUGCUAGCUAAUAUAUUUAGUACAUUUUGUACUAACACAUCCUCUUGCCUACAUUCUUAUCAAAUGUAGGGUUCGGCGAUCUUGAGUUCUAUUUUGGUGGCUAGGUUUCUAGAAGAGAAAAUGAGUUGAAGAUUUGGUGAGUCCUCAUAGUAUCGAGGAUGUGAUCACCUUCCUUAGGUCAUUCUUUUAUGUUUUAGACUUUUGUAUGGGCUGCGUCGCAAAGCUUAUUCAAGUUGUAUUAGAUGGUUUGAGACAAAGUGUAAUAAUACUUCCGGUUGUUUUUAUUAAAGACUUCGAUUGUAUGGAAAAAGUUUUAAAAUUUCCAGCUUCAUUUCUAUGUACUUUAUUUUAUGAUAUGCUAAGUGGCUUGUGUUAGGCCUUUCGGGGUCUAGUACACCUUAUCACAUCUAGGGUGUACCCCUGGGUCGUGACAACAAAAGCCUCCAAUAUGUGUUCAAUCAAAAGGACUUGAAUCUUCGCCAAAGAAUGUGGCUUGAGUUAUUGAAAGAUUAUGACAUGAGUGUUCUUUAUCACCCUGGAAAGGCAAAUGUAGUAGUGGAUGCUCUUAGUAGGUUGUGUAUGGUAGUGUUGCUCAUGUGGAUGAUGAUAAAAAAGAGUUGGAAUGAGAUGUUCAUAGAUUGGCCAGAUUGGGUGUUCGAUUGGUAAACUCCGCCAAGGGUGGUGUUAUAGUCAAUAAUGGUUCUGAAUCUUCUUUUGUGAGUAAUGUGAAAGCUAAACAAUGUCUUGAUCCAAUUUUGGUUGAAUUAUAAGAAACAGUACUCAAGAAGUCUGUUGAGACUUUCUCCCAAGGGGGAGAUGGGGUACUUAGAUACCAAGGUCGAUUAUGCGUUCCAAAUGUUGAUGAGUUAAGGGAAUUUAAUGGUUCUGAAUCUUCUUUUGUGAGUAAUGUGAAAGCUAAACAAUGUCUUGAUCCAAUUUUGGUUGAAUUAUAAGAAACAGUACUCAAGAAGUCUGUUGAGACUUUCUCCCAAGGGGGAGAUGGGGUACUUAAAUACCAAGGUCGAUUAUGCGUUCCAAAUGUUGAUGAGUUAAGGGAAUUUUUUUUAGCCGAAGCCCAUAGUUCUCGAUAUUCUAUUCACCCAGGAGCCACCAAGAUGUACCGUGAUUUGUGAGAGAUCAAUUGGUGGAAUGGGAUGAAGAGGGAUAUUGCGGGAUUUGUGGCUUAGUGUCCAAAUUACCAACAAGUGAAGGUUGAGCACCAUAAACCGGGAGGUUUAUGUCAAGACAUUAGUAUUCCAACUUGGAAGUGGGAAGAUGUGAAUAUGGACUUUAUAGUAGGGUUGUCACGGACUCGACGCCAAUAUGAUUCAAUUUGGAUUAUAGUAGACCGAAUGACAAAAUCAGCCCAUUUCAUUCCCGUCAAAGUUUCUUAUGUGGCGGAAGACUUUGCCAAUUUGUAUUUGAGGGAAAUGGUAAGAUUGCAUGGUGUGCCAUUGUCCAUUAUAUCCGAUAGGGGUACUCAGUUUACUUCUCAAUUUUGGAAGUCAUUCCAAAAGAGUCUUGGCACUAAAGUGAAGCUUAGCACAACUUUUCACCCACAAACCAAUGGGUAAGCGGAGGAAUGAUCCAAACUUCAGAGGAUAUGUUGAUAGUAUGUGUUAUUGAUUUCAAGGGAAAUUGGUAUGAUCACUUGCAUUGAUCGCGUUCGCUUACAAUAACAGUUACCAUUCUAGUAUUGGUAUGGCCCCCUUUGAAGCUCUUUAUGGUAGAAGGUGUAGAUCUUCCAUAUGAUGGUUCGAGGUGGGUGAAGUUUACCUGAUUGGGUUCGAGUUAGGUCAUGAGUCUAUGGAAAAGGUUAAGCUUAUUAGAGAGAGUUUAAGGACAGCCUAAAGGCGACAAAAGUCCUAUGUCGAUGUUAGAAAGAGAGACCUUGAGUUUGAGGUUAGUGAUUGGGUCUAUUUGAAAAUCUCACCCAUGAAGGGUGUGAUGAGAUUUGGGAAGAAAGGGAAACUUAGUCCCCGUUACUUAGGCCUGUAUCUAAUCUUGAGACGUGUUGGGCAGGUUGCCUAUGAGCUUGAUUUGCCAAAUGAUUUGUCAAUGGUGCAUCCGGUAUUCCAUGUAUCUAUGCUUAAAAAGUGUGUAGUUCCCCUAAAAGGAUUGGGAGUUGAUGAAAAUCUCUCUUAUGAAGAAGUACCGGUUGAGAUUCUAGACCGGCAAGUUAAGAAAUUGAGAAACAAGGAAGUUGCUUCCAUGAAGGUAUUGUGGAGAACCACUUAGUUGAGGGUGCUACUUGGGAGGCCGAGGCUGAUAUGAAGUUCCGAUAUCCUCAUCUCUUUCCUUCUACUUUAGCUUGAGGCAAUGAACUUUCUCUUGUUUUGUUUAUGAUUGAGCCAUGUGUGAUUUAGAUGUUCCCUUGAUUUCCUUAUGUUAUCCAUGUUCAUGAAAACUUAUGUCUAGAUAGAAAAUGAGUUUGUAUGAUCGAUUUCUCAUGUUGUAGUGCAUUGAGUAUGAGUUUCCUAUAGACUCCAUGAUAUGAAUAGAUGGACAUGUUUAGAUAUGCUUUUGAGAUUGAAUUGCAUAUGAGCUCCAUAAGAUUGUGUUGAGCAUGUUUUGAGAUGGAGAAGGCAGUUCCUCUUUGAAUAUAUGAAAUCUGAAAAUUUGAUGCAUAUUGGAUUGUUAGAUGUAGUUCCUACUUCCUUAAGAUGCAUUGAGUAGAUUUGAUUCGGAGUUGAUGUUCCUCCUUAGUUGUGUACAUUUUGAUAUGUUGCAUGCAUGAUGGGCUGCUACUCUUAAGUCUUGUGCCUAGAAAUGUGCUUAGAAUCUCAUUCGAGGAUGAAUGAUCCCAAGUGGGAGAUAUUGUAACACUCCGAACCUAAACAGAGGGUUUAGCAUGGUAGGACUCCAAGGUACCACCUCACAAGGACCAACCUAGAGCCCACAAGAAAGCCCCAAGGGAAACUGCCUGAGGCAAUGAACCAUGGCCAGGACCACGCUUCGUGGGUGGGUUUACGGUCCGUGAAUGGGGCAGUUGAGGAUUGGCCAAAAGUCUCUGACCAUGAUUCACGAUUGACCAGGGCGGACCGUUGGUCCAUCCACGGUCCGUAGGUCAUGGUCUCGUGGGUAAUGUCAGUGAAAUUAUUUUAGGGACUUAAGGGUCUUUUCCAGUUUUUAUUAAAUGAAAGUGGUGUCGUUUUGCCUAAUUCUAGGACACCUAUAUAAGCAUUUUUAACCCCCAAAACCCCUCAUUCAACUCAUCCUCUCAAAUAUUCUCUCUCUAGAAGUUGGAAGAAGAAGGAAAAAAAGGAAGCUAGGUCAAGAUCAAAGCUCCAAAUUUCAAGCUUUUGAGGGCAUUAUAACCAAGGUAUGAUAGCUCUUCAUCCAUGGAGUCCCCUAGAAUUCCCCCAAUUUGAUGAAGAAUUUCUCAAUUCUAACUAGGGUUUCUUCAAUUGUAGUGGGUUAUGUUGAUUAUGGAUCCAAUUGAGUGGAUUAUGAUUGUUUAUGAUAUAAUUAGUAUAAUUACAUGUUUUUAGAAUGAAAUCACAUGUAUCCAUGCAUAUCCCACGAUUCUAACCUAGAAUUGAGAUAAUUGGGUAGAUGCCAUGAAGGGAAACUUUGUGGGUUUAGAUGUAUCCUUAUAGGAUUGAUGAAUUAUGCAUAGAACUUCUUGAUAAUGAUUCUUAGAUGAUUAUCAUGAUACCUAGGGCUUUGAGAGUAAAGCUUACAAUGUGAAUUAUUAAUUAUUGAUGUUCAAGUUGGGGAAGAGAUACUUCCUACAUGAAUUGCUAAUUAUGAAUGAAUGUGAAAGGCUUUCUCACGUGAAUGAUUCUAGGUUGAAAGGAUUACUCACCUAAAAUGAAUCUAGACUAAAAGACUAUGUAAUUGAUGAGGCUAGAGGCGAUUACCCUUGACCUCCAUAUGAAUGGAUAUGAGGUGAUUCCCCUAUUCCUUAAAAUUGAACUAGAGGUGAGUCCCCAUGUUCUUAUGAUGUUGAAUGGACAUGGAUGCAAAUACCCAUGAUCCCUAUGAAAUAAUGUGGAUGCAAGUACCCAUAUUAUAUGAUGAAUGAUGUGGGUGCGAGUACCCGCAUCAUAUGAUAAGGUUGUGGAGGUGAGUACCCGCAAUCUAAAAGUAAGUAAGGCAAGAAGUGAAUACCCAUUAUCCUUUGUGAGUUAGGCAAACAGGUGAAUCCCUAUGUCUUUAAAAGUAAGUACUAAUAAUGAGAUUAAGAUGUAAAGAAUGAAUAAAUUGGAUUGUUUCUAGAGAUGUCUUCCAUGUGGUAAGCUUGACUAGAGGUGGAUGACCCAACUCUUGACUAGGGAUGAAUAAGGUUGCUUGAGAAGUAUUCCUUUCUUAUUAUGAUAUUGAUGUAUGUGCAUGAUGUUUAUGUUGUUUAUGCUAGCUAUCAUAUUUAGUACUUGAUUGUACUAAUGCAUACUUUGCCUACAUUAUUAUCAAAUGUAGGGUCCGGUGACAUAGAUUCUCACACUCGUGGCUAGCUUCUUUGUUGAUUCAAGGAGACAAGAUUGGUGAGUCCAAAUUGUUUUCGAGGAUGGCAUCACCACUUACUUUUAUGUCUUUCCUUUAUGUUUGGGACUAUUAUAUGGGCUGUAUCCCAAGAUUUUAUUUUUCAUGUUUAGAUGGUCUGAGACAAUAUUGUUAGACUUCCGCUUCGUUUUAUAAAGACUUCGAUUGUAUUGAAAAGUUUUAAUUUUCACUCAUCUCUAUUACUUUAUGUUAUGAUAUGCUAAGUGGCUUGUAUGAGGCCUCUCGGGGUCUGAUACGCCUUGUUACAUCUAGGGGGUACCCCUGGGUCGUUACACCACGUCAUCGUGAGUGUAUUACACUCAUUUUUAUAUUUUUAAGUUGAUUGUGAAUAAAAUGUUGAAAUGGUAAUUCGAGUUGGUAUAGGUGUUCAAUAGGUACAAGCCGUAGUUGAGGUGUCCAAGUGAAAUCUGCGGACAACUUUAAGGGGUUGUUGAUGACUUAAGCCAAGCCUAUAAAUGCUCAUGUUGCAUGAGUUUAAAAAACUUGCACAUAGUGCUUUCUAAUUUAUUUUUUUCAUUUCAAAAAUUUUAAUUCUUUCAAUGCAUGGACAAAAUUGUUGAGAUCUCAACAUACUCAUCUAAUUUUCAUGUGUUUUUAAAACUAUGUACUUUUUUAUUUUAAAAAAAUCACACUUUUUUACUUUGCUUUGAUUAUUUUGCAAUCAUCUCUAAAAAAUCAAACGUAUUAGCCAGUCAACAAGACAAAAUAAAAAAUCUAAUAACUAAGAUUAAAAUAUCAACUAAGAUGAAGAUGAAAUAGUACAUAAAGUAAAACAAUAUAGAAUAAUGAGAAGUAGAAAAAGUUAAUGUCAAGUACUCCAAAUUGAGGUGGAAUGUGAUUAAGACCCAACUUGUAUUAAUAAUUAGUCCUAAAUUUUUAUGUCCUGUUACUUCAAAAUAUCAAAAGUUCAGAUAUUUAUUAUAUUUACACGAAAUAUAAACUUAAUAGUAGGAAGAACUAGAUCAAUAUUCAUAUUUUUCAAUGCAACAAUCUGGAUAGACUUUUUCUCCCAUAACGUAUAAGAUGAUUUGUAUUUCAUAAAUAAUAAAAUUAUUAAUAUGAUUAAGCUAAUAAUUUUAAAAAAAAUAUUAUAAACACUUUUCACGCGUGAGUAAUAUACAUCUCUCUCUCUUAAUAUAUAUAUAUAUAUAUAUAUAUAUAUAUAAUUGAAGAUGAAGGUUCAAGUAGUUAGUUAGGUUCACAAAGUUAGUUGAGGGUUAAUUAACUCUACUUGUCGUCAUUAUAGUCGGUUAAGUUUGUUACACAAUUCUAGAAGAUUAGAAGUAGUUAGUAACUAGUACAAUUGUAUAUAUAGGAGCUCUUUCAUUUUUUAAACACAUUUUUAAUGUGAAAUACAAAAUUUCCCAAUUCUCUCUUCUCUCUUCCUAAAUUCAUCAUGGUAUCAGAGCAUUGAAUUGAUAAUUGUUUGAUUCACUGCAAUCGAUCCUGAAAACCCCCAUUGAAGAAACAUAGAGUUUUGAUAGCUGACAAUGCCUUCUGCAAUUGAAGAAGUAGCAGCUGCAACUGUUACAAUAAAGACACUUUAAGUAAUUGAAUCAAAGAGGAAUCAUCCUCUUUACCUCCAUCCAUCGGACACUCCAGGCUGUGCUUUAACCUCGGGUCAACUCACUAGAGCAGAGAAUUAUGCAUUAUGGAGUAGAUACAUGUUAAUCACUCUUAGGGCAAAUAGUAAGAUCGGUUUUGUACUCGGAACAUGCAGAAAAAAAGAUUAUGCACCGAAAUUGGAGGAGCAAUGGGAGAAAUGCAAUGCAUUUCUGCUCGCCUGGAUUAUGAACAGAGUCUCAAAAAAAUUAUUGAGUGGAAUUGUUUAUGUUUCAGAUGCUGUAAUGGUAUGGGCAGAUCUGAAGGAGCAAUUUAAUAAAGUUGAUGGUUCAAGGACAUAUCAGCUUCACAGGGAAAUUUGCACGAUAAAUCAAGGUAACAUGUCUGUUCCAGCUUAUUUUUCGAAGUUAUGAUUGCUUUAGGAUGAAUUUGAUGCUCUUGUACCCCCUCCAGCAUGUAAUUGCGAAAGAUCUAGAAUGUAUAUGGAUCAUGUACAUUAUCUUUGAUUGUUUUCUUUUCUAAUGGGAUUGAAUGAGACGUAUGGGCAUGCACGUAGUCAAAUCUUAAUGUUGAGUCCAUUAGCAAGUGUAAGCAAGGUGUAUGCAAUCAUAAUGUCAGAUGAGAGUCAGAGAAUUACCUCGACGAUGCGUACUAGAGAAGAUAUGGUGGAUAACACAACACUGCUUGCAGGGAGAGGAACCUAUAAUUGAACUGAUGGUGAUAGGUCUGAAUCAUCCAUGAACACCGGUAGAGGAUACUAUAAUGCUAAGAAGAAGGUGAAUCAGAAUCUAUUUUGUGAUCAUUGUAAGAUGCAUCGCCACGCUCAAAAGGUGUGUUUCAAACUGGUUUGAUAUCUAGAAGACUGGAAGUUUAAAAGGAAGCCAGCAGGGUAACAUAAUGAGCAAAACUUCACAAACUCGACUAGAGGUAUCAAUGUAACUAGAGGAAGAGGCAUUGCAAAUAAUGUACAGGUUUCUAGAGAAGAUGAGACUGCAGAUGUGUUUGGACUAGUUGAGAUAGGACAGAAGUCUACACAUGAUCCUUAUGACCUUAAUUCCAUUCGAACUAACCUACAGACACUUGCUGCACAACCAAACUUUACUUCAAAGCAAUAUCAGAAGAUAGUACAACUUCUAAAUAAAGAGGAGAAGGCUGCUGAGAUGGUCAACAUGGUAGGGAAUUCCUAUGGUAAAAUUCUUUCAGCAUCCACUAGAGGGAAGGAUUAUGUGGCUAUCAUGAAUGAUAGGAAUGACACACUAAAUAGUGGAAUAAUUGGAUAGUUGACUCUGUGGAAACAUGCCACAUGACUUCUCACCUUGAUAAAUUGGAUCAUAUCAAUUCAUCUGACAGAAACAUAGGUAAGAAAGUAUAUCUUCCUAAUGGGCAAACUACUUUAGUUACUCAUUCAGGUAGUUGUGUGAUACCAGCAGCAGGGGUAUUAGAAAAUGUUUUGGUGGUACAUGAUUUCAAAUACGACUUACUUUUAAUGGCUUAGCUGACUAGACAACUCAAAUGUUCUAUCCAUUUUGAUCCUGAAUUUUGUGUUUUUCAGGACCUCUUCAAUGGAGAAGUGAAGGGAAUUGGUAAGGAGGUAUAUGGGUUGUACUACUUUUCCAGUUAAUUCUCUUCUUCAAACACAACUGCUGAUGAUGAAAAGGUGGUGUUAAUGACAAAGAUAUGUGAAUCACAAUGCAUAGUAUGGCAUAAUAGAAUGGGUCAUCCAUCUAUAAGAACUUUAAGACAAUUGUCCUUAGUUAAGAAAGAGUCAUAUGUUAAAUUGUGUGAAAAUUGUCCGGUGUGUCCUUUUGCAAAACAAACAAGGCUUCCAUUUCCUGUAAAUGUGUCGAGAAUAGGUGAUAUCUUUGAUCUUAUUCAUCUUAAUGUAUGGGAACCAUAUAGAUUUUCUACACAUAAUGGUUUUAGAAUUUUUUUUCUCACCAUUGUGGAUGACAAUUCAAGAAUGACUUGGUUGUUUCUAAUAAAAUACAAAAGUGAUGUAUUUGGUGUUCUGAAAUCCUUCUUUUCAUUGGUUCAAAUCAAUUUGAUAAAUAAGUAAGAAGAAUUAGACCUGACAAUGAAACUGAGGUUUUUAAUAGAGAUUGCAAUUCAUUAUUCUCUUAUUUGGGUAUAAUACAGGAGAGCAGUUGUCCUCAUGCCCCUCAACAAAAUAGGGUGGCAGAGAGGAAACAUAGACACAUACUUGAGGUAGCAAGAGCUUUCAGGUUUCAGGGAUCCAUUCCUAUUAGAUUUUGGGGAGAAUGUGCAGAAACAGUUGUAUACUUGAUCAACAUAAUGCCUACUGAGGUGUUACAAGGCCAAUCACCUUACGAAAUCUUUCAUAAGGUUAAAUCAUCCCUUGAUCAUUUGAGAACCAUGGGUUGUUUAUGUUAUGCCACCAAAGUUGUGAAGGUUGAUAAGUUUUCCUCUAGAGCAGAUGCCUGUGUCAUGAUAGGGUAUUCACCAACUCAAAAGGGGGUACUUGUUGUAUAAUCUGAGCCUUCAAAAAAUUUAUAAUAAACAGGGAUGUUGUCUUCAAGGAGCAUGUAUUUCCAUUCAGCAAAAUGAAAGAUAAAUACUUGCCAAAUUUUGUUCAACAGAUAGAUAAACUUGGAUAUGAAGAGCUUCAGAAAAGAGUUAUUACUGAUAAUGAAGUUCCCACAAACGAUGCACUUGAUCAUCAGAAUAUUAUGAAUGACCUGAACCAAGAUGUUGAGAAUGAUUCCUUGGUGAAUCAAGAUGUUGUCAAUGAUCCAAUUGUUAUUAAUGAUUCCUUGGUGAGUCAAGAUAUUGUACAUGAAGUCAGGCCUAGAACCUCCUCAAGAGUAUCUCAUCCACCUGUUUGGAUGAAAGAAUAUGUGACUAUUAUGACAGCCUCCAUGCACCCUCAUUCCUUAGCCAACUAUGCAUCCUAACAAUCACUUAUCUCCCACAUACCAAGCAUAUUUGAGUGGAAUAUCCACUGACACAGAACCAAGUAGUUAUGAAGAAGCAAUCAAAGACCCCAGAUGGGUAGAAGCCAUGAAGCACGAAAUUAGUUCAUUGGAAGACAAUGGUACAUGGAGAGUAAUGAAGUUUCCUCCCAGAAAGAAUGACAUAGGGUGUAAAUGAGUUUUUAAGAUCAAGUAUAAGGCAAAUGGUGAAAUUGAUAGAUAUAAAGCCAGACUUGUAGCAAAAGGCUAUAGCCAGACUGACGGAAUUGAUUAUCAGGAGACUUUAUCACCAGUGGUAAAAAUGGUGACGGUUAGGACCAUUAUUGUUGUUGCAGCAGCAGAGAACUAGAUGAUUUAUCAAAUGGAUGUUUUUAAUGUAUUCUUGCAAGGAGAUUUGGUUGAAGAAGUGUACAUGGAUUUGCCUAAGGGAUUCAAUAAAAGGGAAUGUAGGCUUUUUAAGUCAUUAUAUGGACUUAAGCAGGCUUUAAGACAAUGGAAUGCAAAGUUGACUGAUGCAUUGUCUAAAUCAGGCUACAUUCAGAGUCAUCUGGAUUAUUCCUUGUUUACAAAAAGGAAAGGCACAUCAUUGGUGAUUGUACUUGUAUAUGUAGAUGAUUUGUUAAUCACAGGGAAUGACUCCACAUUGAUACAAGAAACCAAAUAGGUUCUGCACAAACAUUUCAAAAUCAAAGAUUUAGAUGAGCUGAGAAAUUUUCUGGGAAUAGAAUUUUGCAGAUCAGAGAAGGGAAUUGUUAUGAACCAAAGGAAAUAUGCUUUAGAGUUGGUGUCUGAAGCUGUUCUAGCAGGGGGAGACCUUCAUCUAUACCUUUGGAAUGUAUCAUGAAACUUACUAGUGCAGAGUUUUUUGAUUCUGAUGCAUUAUUCACUGAUAUAGCUAAAUAUCAAAGGUUGAUUGGGAAGUUGCUCUAUCUUACUAACACCAGACCUAACAUAGGUUUUUCAGUUCAGUGUCUGAGUCAAUUUAUGCAGAAGCCUACUAUGUCUCACUAGAAUACAACUCUGAAAGUAGUGAGAUAUAUCAAGGCUGCACCAGGUCUAGGACUACUUAUGAGUGCCGAGAAACAAACAAACCUUACUAGCUUUUGUGAUGCAGAUUGGGCUGCACGCCCCAACACAAGAAGGUCAGUGACUGGAUUUUUACUGAAGCUUUGAUAUCUUGGAAAUCAAAGAAGCAGAACACAGUUUUCAGGAGUUCUGCAGAAGCAGAAUAUAGAAGUUUGGUUACAUUGACUGCUGAGGUGGUUUGACUGACUAAAUUGUUUAAUGAAUUGGGGCUGAGCUUAGAUAAACUUGUCACCAUUCAUUGUUAUAGCAAAGACAGAUUUACAGAUAGCAGCAAAUCCCGUGUUUCAUGAGAGGACGAAGCACAUAGAAAUUGAUUGCCACUUUAUCUGGGAAAUGAUGCAACAGGGCUUGAUAAGAACAAGUUAUAUCAGCACCAAGGAUCAACAGGCUGAUUUGUUGACAAAGGCACUUGGGAGAACUCAAUAUGAUUUUCUACUUUCCAAGCUAGGUGUUUUGAAUAUCUUCAGUAGACCUAGCUUGAGGGGGAGUAUUGAAGAUGAAGGUUCAAGUAGUUAGUUAGGUUCACAAAGUUAGUUAAGGGUUAAUUAAUUGUACUUGUCAUCAUUAUAGUCGGUUAAGUUUGUUACACAAUUCUAGAAGAUUAGAAGUAGUUAGCAAGUAGUUAGUAACUAGUACAAUUGUAUAUAUAGGAGCUCUUUCUUUCUGUAAUCACAGUUUUAGUAUGCAAUACAAAAUUUCUCAAUUCUCUCUUCUCUCUUCCUAAAUUCAUCAUAUAUAUAUAUAUAUAUAUAUAUAUAUUCUAUUAUUAAAGUUACCUAAGUUUCAUAAGUGGUCCCUAAAUUAUAUUUCCUUAAAUCAAAACCAGACAAUUUAUUUUUAGCACAUAAAAAUCAUUAGACACUGACCAUUGUAUUCAAAAAUCACAAUGCUAAAAAAUUUUAAACUUGUGUAUUGUUAAGGGGAAUUUCAAUCUAUCUUAAUGAUGCUAAGGGAAUUGAAAAGCUUCUUUAAUGUAUCUAGGUUGGACACAAAUACAGUAAAAUCAAAUAUCUAUGGAGCGAAUAUGACAAGCCAAUGUGUAAAUAAUAUUUGUGAGUUGACUUGGUACCAAAAAGAGGCCUUACCUUUCAGAUAGAUAUCUCUCAAGAUAGAUAUACAUAAAUAUACAUAAUUUUUUCCGAAGUUAACGGAUGCACGUGUACACAAUCUAGAAGGGUGGGUCUGCCUCUAGCGAUGGGUGGAUCAUGUCUACGUGACACCCCAGAAAUUUUUUCGAACUAAGACUUGAACCAUCCUUCGUUGUGAGUAGGAUUUUUACCGAGCACGUCUCCGUCGACGUGCCUCUUUCAACGUGUUUUUUAAAAAUAAAAUUUAAAAAAUUAUUUCUUUUGUUCUUCUUUAAUUUAAUUAGUUUAUAAUUUUUUUUGAAAUAGAAUCCGUUUUAGCUAUAACUUUUAGUUUUAAAUUCAAAACUUAACGCUGAAGCGGGAAAAAAAGUAACUAACAACUUAAAUCAUGUUAAAAUUUAAUCAACUUGCUAAAUUCUACCUUUCUCUUAUUAUAUAAGAGACCGUUUGUGUUGAAGCAGACACGUCUCCGUCGACGUGCCUGCUUCAUCGUAUUUUUUUUUAAAAAAAAACUUAAAAUUUAUUUCUUUUUCUCUACUUUAAUUUAAUUAUUGUAUAAUUUUUUCGAAAUUAUGAAAUCAUUUUUAGCUAUGACUUUUAGUUUUAAAUUCAAGACUUCACGUUGAAGCAGGAUAAAAAGCAAUUAACUUAAAUCAUAUUAAAAUUUAUUCUACUUUCUAUAUUCUACCUAUGUCACAUAAAUUAAAUUAAAAAUAAAACUAAAAUAUUAGGCCCGUGCUAGCACGGGCACCUAUUUCUAGUAUAUAUAUAUAUAUAUAUAUAUAUAUAUAUAUGCGCAAGGACAAAGCCAUAAGUGUGUGAGGGCAUUUUUAUAUUAAUUUUAAUACGAUAUGUGGGACCUACAACGUGCUUUUCCUCAACCAUUUUUUUCUCGUUCCUGCUUUUCUCUUUCAUGUUUUGUUUCAUUUUCUAUCUUUUUAGUGGAGUAUCUAUUUUGAAACCAAUUUCAUUAUUACCUAAUUUUUAUUUUUGCUUAUCAUAAAAAUAAAAUUUUCUUUUGUCUUAUAUAUUUUAUUAAAUAAAAAAUAUAUUGUUUUUUUAAUAUUAUUGUAUCACUAAAUAAAUGCAUAAGAUAUUAAUAGUCAAACUUAAUAUUUUAAAACAUAAUUAAUAAAACAAAUUUAAUAAAAUAAACCUCUAACAAAAUACAAGUGAAUCUAUAUAUAAAAAGAAUUGUGAAAUACAUAUUAUUAAAUUAUAUAUUAAAUAUUUAAAUAUUAUUGGCAUAUAGAAAAUAUGAGUGUUACAACUAUAUUGUUGUUGUUGUUGUUAAUAAAAUAAACCUCUAACAAAAUACAGGUGAAUCUAUAUAUAAAAAGAAUUGUGAAAUACAUAUUAUUAAAUUAUAUAUUAAAUAUUUAAAUAUUAUUGGCAUAUAGAAAAUAUGAUUGUUGUUGUUGUUGUUAUUAUUAGGUAUUUGUCCAUAAAUUCUAAAUAUAUUUUUUGGUUGCAAUUGUUGGCAUUGAAGAUGAAGUUGUGUUGGUUAUAUAGUUUGUAAAGAAUAUUUAAAAUGAUGUUUUUUUAAUGUACUUAGGUAAAUUGUUAAAAGUAAAAAAUAGUCUAGAAAUAGAUUAUUAGAUGUUCAAGUUUUUUAAUAUAACUUCAAAUUGAAAAUAAAUUAUAUUUCAAAUUUUGAUGGCCAAACGUUGAUUUUAAAAUAAAUUGAAAUAUUAUUACGAAAAAAAUAAAUAUUUUUAUGUUCGAAUGGAUCCUAAAACUAGAAGUUGAAAAAUAUAUGAAACAUAAAGAUGAUUUUUUAAAGAAUGAUAAAUGAAAAAUAAAAGAAAAAGAAACAAAAAGAAUUUUAAUAGACAAUUUUCAAAAUAUAAAUAACCAUUCAAAUAAUUAAUUUCAAUUUUUUACGCUCACAACCUCUAAUUAUCUACAACAUGGGCUUGACACAUUUUAUAUAAAAUUAUCCAGCUCUAACUUAUAUAUUAAUCACAAAAAAUCCAUUGGAAAUUCACUAAUCGAAAAAGAACAACGGAUAAACUAAUCAGAUCGUCUAACUAAUUUGACACAGGUCUUCAGGAAGUUGAGAAUUUGGAUAGAGCAUUAGUAAUUCACAAGGACUAUCAAGGCUUACAUGGAGACAGCUUGGGAGGGCAGGAUGCUGUGGUGUUAGAUACGGUGGAGUUUGAGAAAGAGCCUCAUCUGCAUUUAGAAGAUGUUGAUAACAGAUACAGGUCAGACAAUAGUGAGGAGCUCCUUACUGGUUGCUCACCUGUCAAUCAAGAACAUAUGCACAAUGUUAGUAUGAUUAGUGCUGCUCAAAAUGCAAUAAUCAAGUUUUCAGGGGUAAUCAAACAAAGUUCUCCUAUCAAAGAACUUCAUGAUUUGGUUUCUCAUAAAAUUGUAGAUAAAGACAACACUUCAGUAGAGGUAACAAAUCAACAGCAAAAUGAUCUAGUAAUAAACAAGGAUGAAAAUGAAAACUACAGUGAUCAUGCACAGGUUGUAAAUAAUGCAGGAGGUUCCCCUCAAGGGAAAUCAAAGAAGAAGAAGACUAAAUCUCAAGGGGAUAAGCCUAUUAGGAUUAACCCUAUGAGGUCUGGUAGAGCUAUGUCAAAAUGAUCUUUAAAGCAUUAAUAUGGAAUAUUAGAUCAAUUAGAUCUAAACAUUCUUUCCAUAGAGUGCAAAUGCUUCAUAGACAUCACAAAUUUGAUUUGGUUGCCUUGAUGGAACCUUUUCAAGAGACUAGGCAGAUCCAACAGUAUAAAAGGAGACUAGGCAUGGCCUAUGCAAAUUAUAAUAUCAAUGGGAAGAUUUGGUUGUUUGUAAAGGAGGACAUUCAGGUGGAGGUUGUUUCAGAUUCUGAACAACAGUUGACUAUUAAGAUGUUAUUCCGUAGUGGAUAUCAGAUUGUUAGUACUCUUGUCUAUGCUAAGUGUACAACUGUUGAAAGAAUUCAAUUGUGGGAAGAUUUGUAUGUCAUUGGGCAAAAUAUGUAUUUCCCCUGGUGUGUUGGAGGGGAUUUUAAUAUUAUUAUGGAUGCCGAAGAAAAGAUAGGUGGUCUACCUGUCUAUCCUACUGAGGUGGAUGAUUUUGCAUUUUGUGUCAAUUCCUGUGAAUUAUUUGACAUUAAAUUCAAAGAUAGCCCUUUCACUUGGUGGAAUGGGAGGACGGAUGGUGAUUGUAUUUUUAAAAGAUUAGACAGGGUUGUAGGGAAUCAAGCAUUUUUGGAAGGGUUGGGUCAUGUGGAGUUAGAACAUCUAGCUAGGACAGGGUCAGAUCAUGCUCCUAUGUUGCUAUCUUGUGGAGUUAAAACUAUCCAGUUCCUCAAACCUUUUAGAUUCCUCAACUUUUGGUCUGAAAAGGAAGGGUUCAAAGACCUGAUUAGGCAAAAUUGGGUUGAUGAUCAUUCUGAUGAUGUGUUUGUUAAUUUAAAGCUCAAGAUGAAGAAGACUAAACUAGCUCUUUCUAAGUGGAGUAGAGAAAGUUUUGGGGAUAUUUUCAAACAAUUAGUUAUAAGGGAGGAUAUUCUGAAAAUCAAAGAAAAAUUGUUUGAGGAUGUUCCUUCUGAUGCUAAUAGAAUUAUCCUCAAUAGAGCUCAAGAAGAAUAUACAAAAUACUUGAAGUUUGAAGAGGAUUUCUGGACACAAAAGGCUGGGAUGCAAUGGUUCAUUGAAGGAGAUAGGAGCACUAAAUUCUUCCACAAUAUUGUAAGAGGAAGAAGAAGAUUAGAAAUAUCCAAAAUGCAUAAAGCUGAUGGUACAUGGGCUGAAGGAAGUGAAGUUGAGGGAGAGGCUGUAAAAUUCUUUCAAGAUCAAUUUUCCAGUGAUUUGCAGGAGUCUAGUCUACCCCUUGUGGAUUUAAUUCCCUCUUUGAUUAAGGAGGAAGAUAAUGCAAUGCUUAAUAGGAUUCCCUCUUCUGAGGAGGUUAGAAAGGUGGUCUUUGAACUUAAUGGAAAUAGUACAAGUGGACCUGAUGGUCUGACUGGACACUUCUAUCAAGUUUGCUGGGAUAUAGUAGGAGAUGAUGUUGUGAAGGUGGUACUUGCUUUUUUUGAUGGGAUGACUCUCCCUAAAUUCAUCACCCAUACCCACCUUGUGUUGAUUCCUAAGAAGGAGAAAGUGAUUUCAUUUGUUGAUCUAAGGCCUAUUAGUCUGAGAAACUUGAUUAAUAAUGUUAUUUCCAGAGUUGUUCAUGAUAGACUGGAAGUAUUCUUACCUACUCUUAUUUCUGCUAAUCAAUGUGGUUUUGUUAAAGGAAGAAGUAUUACAGAAAAUGUCCUACUUGCUCAGGAGAUUAUUGUGGAUAUCAGGAAGAAGAGUAAAACUACUAAUGUGGUGUUUAAACUUGACAUGGCUAAAGCAUAUGACAGGGUAGAUUAGAGCUUUUUGAUUAAAGUAUUGGAAAAAAUGGGCUUUAACACAGUAUUUAUUGAUAAAAUAUAGAGGCUGGUGGCCAACAAUUGGUAUUCUGUGUUGGUUAAUGGCCAAGCUUGUGGAUUUUUUCACUCAACUAGGGGUGUUAAACAAGGAGAUCCUUUAUCUCCUUCUUUAUUCAUUCUAACAGCUGAAGUCCUUACUAGGGCCCUUAAUAAUUUGUUCAGCUAUGCAGGGUAUCAAGGGUUUGGUCUUCCAAAGUGGAGUGAACAGAUUAAUCAUCUUGCCUAUGCUGAUGACACUAUCAUUUUUGCUAAGGCAGACAAAUUUUCUUUGAACUUGAUUAUGAGGACUUUACAAGAUUAUGAAUCCCAAUCUGGUAAAAAAUUCAAUAAAGAAAAGAGUGCAUAUUUUGUUUAUCACAAGGCAGCACAAAGUGACAUCCAGAUGAUAGAAGAGUGUAAUGGUUUUACCAAAGGUAAGUUCCCUCUAACUUAUCUUGGGUGCCCAAUUGGGCAUGGCAGGAAAAGGAAAACUCAAUUCUCUGAACUCAUUAAAAAGGUUCAAAACAAAAUUCAAGCUUGGAAAGGGAAGCUUCUGUCGUUUGAGGGUAAGUCUGUAUUGAUCACUAAUGUAUUACAGAGUGUUCCUAUAUAUCAGUCGUCUGCUAUCAUUCCUCCCAAAUGUGUCAUUCAUGAUCUUCAUAGAAUCUUUGCAAGAUUUCUAUGGAAUUUUAAGGAAGUAGGAAGAAAUAAACACUGGGUUUCCUGGAACAAUGUAUGCUUACCCAAAAAAGAAGGUGGUCUAGGAUUUAGAUCCUUAUUUGAUGUUUCAAGAGCUUUAUUUGCUAAACUAUGGUGGAAUUUUAGAACAAAAAAUACUAUGUGGUCCCAGUUUAUGUGGAAUAAAUACUGUAAAAGGCACAGACCACAAACAGUAGAGUGGAGAGGGGGUUCUCAAACCUGGAAAUAUAUGCUAGCUGCUAGAGAUUUUUUUGAUCAGGAAAUAUGGUGGCAACCAAAUGGUGGGCAUUCUAGUAUCAUGUUUGACAAUUGGACACAAUUAGGGGAUCUAUAUUACUACCUACCAGUGUCUAAUAAUAAUGAAUGGAUGCAUAGAGAUGUUGAUCAAUUAUUUCAUGAAGGGAGGUGGAAUGAAGAGCUCUUAAGGACCGUAUUCCCUGAGAAUGUUGUAAAUCAUAUUCUCAAUGAUAUUGAGAGAUUUCAGGAUUCAGAGGAAAGAGAUAUUCCUAGGUGGAUGUUAAACAACUCAGGGAAAUUCUCAAUGAAGUCUGCAUGGGACAAUAUCAGAAUCCCUGGAAUUGAGGAUGAUAGUUUUGCUAGGAUGUGAGAGAAGGGUGUACCUUUUAAAGUAUCUUUCUUUUUCUGGAGAUUAGCAAUGAAAAGGAUCCCUAUUGGUGAAGUCCUAGCCAGAUUUGAAACUGAGGAGGAGAUGGUGUGUUGCUGUUGUGAUCAGAUGGCUAAUGAAAGUUUUCAACACCUCUUUGUCUCCUGCCUUGCUGCUAAUCAAAUGUGGAGUAGUUUUACUAGAGCUGCUGGUGUAGAAGGUCCUUUUCUUCAGAUAAAGGACACAGUGUAUAAGUGGUGGAAUGCAACUUGUUCAGCUAAUCUUAGACCUCUAUUCAAUGCUAUACCUGGUCUAAUACUCUGGCAAAUUUGGAAAAAGAAGAAUAGAAUAAGACAUGGUGACAAAAUGAAUGUGCAAGGAAUGAUAAAUGGAAGUAAACAAGAACCUGCACAUGUUAGCUGUUUUUAGAUACCCUUGGCUGAGGAAUAUCCCUGAGGAUUGGCCAAAUUUGGUGCAUUUCUUUGAAGGAUAUAAACCAAUCUUAGUUCCUAAGGUCAUUCAUUGGAAACCUCCUAUGGAGGGGACCUAUAAAUGUAACUCAGAUGGAGUUUCUAAAGGAAAUCUUGGACAAAGUGCUGGUGGGUUUUGCAUCAGGGAUUGGAAAGGUGAAUUUAUAUUUGCUGCAACCUAUGAUCUUGGCAAAAGAACAGGUUUGCAGGCUGAAACUAGUGCCAUGGAGAAAGGUUUAAAUUAUUGUGUUACACAUAAUUUACUUCCUGUGUGUUUAGAGACGGAUUCACUGGUUUUGACCAAGAUUUUAAAUGGGGUAUUGGAGGUCCCUUGGAGCAUUAAAAUUCAGAUUCAGAAGAUUGAAUUUUUGAGAAACAAUAGGGAGGUUGCAGUGCUACAUACGCUCAGGGAAGGCAACAAAGUGGCAGACUACUUCACUAACUUUAUUUUUUCUUUUGCAGGUACAUAAAAUAAAACUUUCCAAUCAAUUCAAGAUGUACCAAAGGAAGGAAAAUCCUUAGUACUCAUGGAUGCAAAUCAGAUUCCAAACAUUUGAAUUACUAAAAUGCAAAAUAAACUCUAUGGUUUGUAGUUUCGAACUAUAAUCUUUGCACAAAAUGAAAUGCAAUUGCAGUAUAAGUCAAGCAGAGGAGAGAAAGGAAAUACCUAACAAAUAUACAUAGACUUUAGAUCCUAGCUUCUUAGACAGUGGUAUCAGUUCCCUCGGAGCUCAAUCUGUCAAGAGGCGAAGAUCUAAGGAAAAUGGUUUUCUACAAGGCACUGAUAUCUGGAGAAAGCUCCAAAGAAGAUAGAUCUGUACAGCAAUGUAAGGGCAAUGAAUAACAAUGUGAUAUUGAGAUUCUUGUUGAAUAAUCGAUAGGGAUGUGGGGGUUACCUCUCACACAGGAAAGGGACCAAUGUUUUGAGCUGAAGAAGUCUUCAACGGACAAGAAUACAUGGCGUUAGUGAGAUUUUUAACGUCUUGAUGUACUCUAUCCAAGCUCGAUGAUAUGAGUCUCUAGUUCCACAGUGAGUAAGGUCUAACUCCUAUCUCAUCAUUUGCACAAGGAUCUUUGAUGUAGGUCCACCAUAGCUGCCGGAGUCGAGAAGAGGUUGACGGAGGUCCACCAUUGAUGACGGAAGAUUUAGAGACAGUGGUGUCUUGACUAUAGGAGGGUUUUGUCUUUCCCCUUUUUAUUUGUUUUUUGUUUCCAUUUCUUGUUUCAGAUUUUGGAUUAGGCGUUUUGGGAC
This 53297-nucleotide long non-coding RNA is filed under the name Solanum tuberosum (potato). RNAcentral's name for it is "long non-coding RNA (STUB_LNC010708)". The record is from RNAcentral. Lineage: Eukaryota; Viridiplantae; Streptophyta; Magnoliopsida; Solanales; Solanaceae.